RNAcentral lists this long non-coding RNA (75490 nucleotides) under Olea europaea (common olive). Its description in RNAcentral is "long non-coding RNA (OEUR_LNC014531)". The record is from RNAcentral. Lineage: Eukaryota; Viridiplantae; Streptophyta; Magnoliopsida; Lamiales; Oleaceae.
AUGUCUGAACCUUUGUACGGGGCCAUAUUCCCGGACCGACGAGCAAAUCUUGAGUCCACCAGAUAGUACUUCUUGAGACCUGGGAGUGGCAAAUGAAUGUCCGACAAGUGGAUGGCACGCGUAAGUAGUCAAGCAUAGUACAUAUUCCAAUUUUGCCCUGCUAGCACAAACAUGAAACAUAAAUUGAAAUCACAUGUAGCCAGCACAUUCUGGGUCGGCACUCCUUUUCGUCCUAUGAAGUGCACACGCUCAUUCCACAAUAGUACCGCUUUGACAUGCGUCCCGUCUAUAGCACCAAUGCAGUCUUGGAACAGUGGGUGCUUGUACAAAAUCGGCCUACGUGGCGAUAAACUUUCGUUGUAGUUCUGACUCGACCGUAUCAAACGCGCUUACAACGAAAUGACAGCGCAUAGGACCUCUUUUACAUAGUGACAGAUGGUUUGAAGCAGUGGUUGAAUGAUGUAUUCACCUGACGUUAUCCCUUCCCGUGCGCUAAUAUGCACAGAAACAUGUCGACUUGCUCGUAGAUGUCAACCUGUUGACUACUGCAUAGGCCAUGCUCGUCCCGUAAAAUAUGUGCAAAAUGUCGUAGCAUCGGGGAAUACAUACGAAAUUCUUGAAAGCACAUCUAUCCAUUUUCGCUCAUUGCCUCUAGCAUGAACAUGUCACCGUUCCUUGCAAAUGGAAAUCGCUGGAUACAACGUCGCUACAUGCAAUAGUACUCAUGUGCGUCACUCCCAAUGAUUUUGCAAUAUGAAACCCAUGUCGUUGCAUCUACUGCUAAAGAAGCUAAGAAAAAGUCAUCUUCUAGUUCGUCCUUCGCAUCAGAAUGUAGCUGUAUAAUGCAGCUGAAGUUACACUCAUUCGCAAGGCCAAACAUUUGGAACAACGUAAAAAGGACAGCGUGUGUGAUUUAAGCAGUUACAAGCACUGUGACCUCCUCACAACACCUCGAAAGCUCCUCACAUUACUCCUUCCUACUUGAUCCAUAUGACUUUAUAGAACAUGUGCAUGCCAAGUACCAUAUCACAUGCACCUACUCCUUGGUGCCUGCAAUUUUAACACACUGUGGUACCGCAUUUUUUAACCCAACAACAGUGCCUCGUGAAAUAUGCGCAUGGUGGAAUCUGAUUCUUGCCUAAACUAAAAAGUGACUUUUGCACAAAGUGAUAGAACAAUGGUGUCUGCAAAAUUAUUCUAAUCUUCAUCCCGAACCGGAGAAACAAUCGUGCACACAUCCUAUUGCUAUUGCCCUCAUUGAUGUUCAAGCUGAAAAAUAAGCCACUUGAACUAUUAUACUAAAAUGGCAAAGUCAUUGCAUUUGAGCACUCACUGUACCAAAGGAGAAUCCUAUGAUUCACCAGUUUCAGAUAUCAAAAUAAAGAAAAUUAUUUCAGGUAACCUCCUAUAUACAUAUAAUUUUAAUUAGAUACAUAUUGAUAAAUGACAUUAUAUGAACUUCAUGGAAAUUUAUUUAUUUGUUCACGAAACAGAGUAAAAUAAAAUCAGGGAUCAAUAUAUUAGUACCGUUGAACAUACAAGCAAAAUAAUAUAAUAAACUAAUCUAAGCACAAUGUGCAGGAAAGUGAAAGCAAUCUACCACAUGUUACAGGCACUUUUACCGUGUACCUAAAGGCUGUUAAAGUUUCAGCUCUUAGCAAUAUUUUUGGAAAAGGCAUGAACAUGCAUUAGAAAGGUAAAUUAUAAUUAUGAAAAACAUAGGAAACAAGAGUGCAAAAAGCACAGAACAGAUAAAUUUUCAAGUCUAAAACAAAGUGUACAAUUUUUGUAUUGGCCUGCAAUUGUGUAACCUUUCAAUUUCCUGCCCACGAUUUUCUCCAUCUUUCUAGUCGACGGAGAAGAUAAGGAAACAAUCCAUAUAUUUCAAUUUAUCCCUUGUAUUUGAUUAGAUUUUCAUUGAAUUGAAUCGAUACUACUCAUCGAGAUGGGUAAACAAAAAUUAAUAGGAAGAUAUAUGUCUCGAGCACAAAAUUAUCAAUUUACAUCAGUUCUACAAAUUUGGCAGGAUAGGGAAAACUUUGGAACAUGACAACCUACUCAAGGGCAAUUAGGCCACAAAGUUGUUCAUGGAAAAGCGUUGUUUUUUAUUUUUUCUUGCCUUAAUUGAGUGCCAAACGCGGGAAUAGAUUCACCAGCAUCUACCAUGUUCGAAGUCAUAAUGAACAAAUGGAUUAAAGUGCAUGGAAAUAUUACAACAAUUUUCGUACAGAUAGGUCUCAAAAAUUUAAAAAAAAACACACAAUCACUGGCAAAAUUACUUCCCCCGAUCGUUGAACAUCCACUCGAUCCACUCAAAUUUCUUGUCCGCGUCUUUCAUGAAGGCUAGCAUGUCACGGUACCAGUUAAGGGCUAGAAGCUGGCAUGUGAAAAAGUAAAGAGGUGUACGCCGCUCAAGUCGACUUGUCGUUAGCAACUCUUCGACACAGUUCGCGCCAGGGCUUUCAUUUGAAGCCAUCAUCGUAUGAAUCUUCACUGCCACUUCCUCCGUCGCACUGGUGGCACGGUCUACUGAGAAGGAUAGUUCACGAGCAGACAUCUUUUUCUUCCUGCCCCUCCGCUGCCCGCUGGAAGACUUCUUUUUACUGUCGCCUGUGGUGCUAGAAACGUUUUCACGGGCACCGACCCUAGUCUGUUCAGCCUCGUCACUCGAACCACUGCUCUCGUCGUCCAUCGGGAUUGCAUCCCUAUUGUCCUCGAGCGCACUAUCCUCGUAUAGGCUGAAUCUCGUUCUGCACAACUUCGUUGGAGUGACAGCGUACUUGUCUGCAUCGUAGCUGUCGUCGAAUAGCUGACAGUGUUUUAUAUAUAUCUCGCUGACGUCUCUGCCCUUGAAGUCUUUAUAGUCCUUGUUCUCCUGCAUAAAUCGGGACCCAUAGUGAGAGUACCGGAGGAAACGCAACUCGAAAUGUAUCAAAAACAUAAACAACCGCUAGAGAAAAAUUAAUAUUAAGUACGAAGUAAAAGACACGAGCAAGUCAGUUCAUACACAUGAGAUGGGCACUUUAAAGAGACACUAUGAAAUUUUAAAUGUAACUAAUUCAACAGAACAAAUGUGGAAAAAAUCCUAUCUUUUUAAGAUGUCUAAUGUCUGAUGCAAAUGUGAAGACAAUAUUGAGAUAUUACCAAAAAUCCAAGUAAAAAGGGAAAGAAUAUCAAUUUAAAGAGUUGGAAUCCAGGAAAUUCAUAUUUUCUUCCCACUAUCUUCCAUUGAAACAAGUUGAGCAUUAAUGAGAUACUCAAGCUUGCAGUAAUACUAUUCUACACCAAACAACAGGUAUACCCAUCACUGAUGAUGAAGAAAAUCUCAGAUACUAAAGUUUUCUACAAUAAAGAAUCAACGAUUGAUAGUAUAACAACAUCUAUUCAGCAUAAUCUGAAUAAAGUGUCUUCUCCCUUGAUGCAGCCGUCAACUUAAAUAUGAAUUUUAAAUAUUCUUCCCCUCAUACAUGCAUUUUUACAGUCUUAAACCAUAGACUUAAAGAGGUACUUUAUCACAUUUCUUGUUAAUCACCCAGGUCGGUCACCUAUCAACAUUGUUGGAGGAAAUCCUUGCUCGUCCAUUCAAGUUAUUACUUGACAUGAACAUGAAAUCAAGGCAUCACCUCAAAUUGAAAUAGCAACUGGGAUAUUCUUACAAUUACUAAGGGAGAAAAAAGAUUGUACGAGGUUGCCUCGAUGCUUGGAGAAAUGUAAAGGGGCAAAAGGAAAAGACUUUAUGAUAACUCGAACAAAUGCCAAAAUUAAUGUUUGGAUUUAUGGCUUGCACACAUGAAUUUGUAUUCUUAGAAGCAGCACAAAGCAUUCCGUACAUUGUGCAAGAAAACAAGUUCAGUGAAAAGGACAUAUAACGAAUACUAGACGUUUGAUGCUAGUUUGGGCAUUAAUCUAAUGCAGUAGUAUUUUCAUCCACACUCACAACACUUGCCAUCAAAACAGAUAAAAUUGAAUAUGAGUUAAAGGCUAAGAAGUAUAAUAAAGUUUUUGGUACAAUACAAUUCAGUUUUCAGACUAAGAUGUCGGAUGCAAAUGUAAAGACACAGCAAUACACCAGAAAGAUAGUAAGUGGGCGUAGUAAUCACACUUGCAGGGAAACGGGUCGUUGAAAAAUUGGAAAUCCAUUACCUUAAUCUUUUGGUUCCACCAUUCUUCAGAAGCAACGAUUCUGCCGGUUACGUCGUUAUACUCGAUCUCGUUGCUAUUAACAAGCUCUAAUAGACACUUGUAUGUUCGGCACAUUGAAUCCCAAUGAUUUCGUAGUUGUUGCUAGCUCUAGUUAUGGCCAAUCACUGAGUUGAAGAGUGAGGCAACCUGUUCCCAGUCGUGCUUGGUGAAACACCUCCUGUUCGGUGCCCCUCGGCAAUGGCGAUCUUGCACGCCACAAUGAAGGCUCGGGUGGUGUCUGGGCUCCAAUGAGCAUAUGACUUCGCGAUCGAUCAUCGUGAAGUCCCCGUCAUAAGGUAGGAAGGUCCUCUAGCAAGGUGUCCUAGCUGUGAAGUGGAAGAGUUGGUUGGGACGAAAACUGGGUGGAAGUGGAGGGAAGGAGAUUGGAGUAUUCGUACCUGUUACUCAACGUGAUCCAUUGUUGGUCACCGGCACUGUGUCGGUCUGGCAUCGUCGUGUAGCUGGGAACUAAUAGGAACUUGUGACGGUUGCUAUGGGACAUGUUCACAGUAUGGGAAGGUGAAAGUUCAACGGCAGUGCACGGGUUCUUCAAAUAUUCGGCCAGUGUAUUGGAUAGGUAGACUCUUGCCAGUUUCGGAGCUAAAGGUUGGAGAAAGAAAGUAUCGGUGGGAGGGGCAUUGUGAGGGAAAGAGAAAAAUUGAUGUACUGUAUAAUCACACAGAAGUUGUCAGACAAGUGGGUGGCAACGUUCGAAUAAUUAAUUUUGGGUAGAUGAAAAUGGCUACCAAACAGCCUCUAUAUGACAAGCUCAUAUACUGUAAAAAUUACCAAGUUUAUUUCUCUAUGGCGAGCCAUAGGUCUCUUCGAAAUGAUUAUUGUAUGACAAGCUCAUAUAUUGCAAAUUACCUGAGUUAAUUUGUCUAUGACGAUGCCAUAGGUCUCUUCGAAAUAAUUAUUAUAUAACAAGCUCAUAUACUGCAAAUUACCAAGUUAAUUUGUCUAUGGCGAGCCCACAGGUCUCUUCGGAAUAAUUAUUAUAUGACAAGCUCAUACACUGCAAAGCCAGCUUAUAAGUCUUCAAUAGUUCAAGACGAACCACUAGCUCGAUAGUCAUUGCUCGCUCUUAUAUAUAUAUAUAUAGAGCUUAUCAUGCCUAUGUUUCACGAUAUUAGUACAGCUGCUUAUAUUCAAUUUAGAGUCAGCCUCUGCAUCAGUAUGCAUCAGUAUCAAUACAGCUAUUUAUACAUCCAGAGCAUCGUCUAUGCUAUUUAUGUUUGAGGACUGCCUUUGCUAUCUAUAUUCAAGCACGGCCUCCUCUGCUAUCUAUGUUCGAACAUCAUCUCUGUUACUUAUGUUCGAGCAUGAUCUUUGCUACUCACAUCCAGAGCAUCACCUCGGCUACUUAUGUUCAAGCAUGGCAUUUGCUACUCACAUCCAAAGCAUCGCCUCUGCUACUUAUGUUCGAGCAUCACCUCUACAUCAGCUUAUCAUAGCAGCUUAUAUAUUCAUUCUUACGUCUACAUCAACUUAUCAUAGCGGCUUAUAUAUUUAGUCUUGUCUAGACAUCAGCUUUAUCACGGUAACUUAUAUUUCAAGUCCAAGCCGUAUAUAAAUAUUUGAUGCAGACUUGGUGGACUAUUGUGAUUCUAGUAUCUUAGUAUUAUGACAUAUCAUGACAUAUCACUGCUAGUGUAGGCGUCAUAUUACUAUUAGAAAGUAAGAAUGUCAUAUCACUGCUAGCAUGCUAUACAUUAUUUUCAUUAUAGCCAGUAUGUAUGCUAUGUUAUCAUCAUUUUCAUUUUAUUAUUGACAUCAUGUUACUUGAUUCAUUAUAGCACUACUAAUACACUGAGCUGUGCGAGCAUACGAUUUACUCUGAUGCAUGAUAGGCCUUUUGCAUAUUAUAUUUUGAAGAAAUGUACUUAAUGGUUAUGAGUAAUUUAAGGGGCAAAUGGAUCCCAAUUUAUUUAAUAUAUGUGCGGUGGAGAUAUUAUGUUAUAUUAUAGGUUGAUUUAGUCCAUAUUAUAGAGAAAGUGUUGUCGAAAUUUCGAAAAAUUAUAUGCAGCAUCUAUCUUUCGAGACAAUUCUUAAGUCCUUACUUAUUCAUGCUCGUGCACAAAUUUUUCGAGGCAAUUCGUAAGUCCUCACUUAGUGGAGCUACUCAUAUUUUCUGAGGCAACUUGUAAGACCUCGCAUAUUUAGUAAUUUAUAUUUUAAAGUCCGACCCGCACAUGAAUGUACGACUCAGACUUGGGGACUAUUGUUAUAUCCAUAAUUACGUGGCAUACGUAUGACAGGAAGAGUGCCACUUUGGCCGAUGUGGCAUUGCUUACUUAACUACUUAUAUUUCAAAGUCCGACCCGCAUAUAAAUAUACAACUCAAACUUGGGGGACUGUUGUUAUACCUAUUUCAUAUUGAGCCUCAUUGGACUUGGCCCAUUUCUUUAACCCACCAUGCCCGUCUCCAUUUAUUUUUCUUUAUAUACGGGAAUCAUUUCUUAAUGAAGGUAAGUUCUCUAACCCGAACCAAACCCACUUUCCCGUCUCUUGCACUCUUUAUUUUAUUUUCGUCUGGCCAUUGACUUGACCGUCGGAGUGCAAACGGUCACAGGAUAUUUUUUUCGACCGACUGCUUUUGCCUCCUAACAGGAUGUUCCGUGUGCAAGUGUGGAGGAGACAAGGUUGGAAUUCUGUUUGCGCAAUUUUUGAGGUCAACAUUAUUAUUAUUAUUAUUAUUAUUAUUAUUAUUAUUAUUAUUAUUAUUAUUAUUAUUAUUAUUAAGUCAAGUAGAAAAUUGCAUGCAUUAAUUUACCCUUGAGGUAGUUAAUUACCUCCUAGCUGUUACUCUUAAGAAAUAGAUAAUCAAAAGAGAGAAGAGUUAAUUGUUCCAAUAGUCACUGAAUUUAAGUCCAUAUCUUUGACUGGCCAUUAAAAUUUAAAAAUGUCGAGUUUUGGUUACUGAAUUUAGGUCCAUGUCUUCGAUUAUUUACUGAAGUGUAAAUGUCGAGUUUUGACCACUAAAUUUUGCAAAAUAUUGUACAUUACUCACUGAAUUUUGAAAAAUACUAUACAUUACUCACUGUAAACUCGAUAUUUUUCAAAGUUCAAUAGUUAUGUUAGUGAGUAGCGUACGGCAUAUUCCAAAAUUCAGUUGCCAAAACUCGAUAUUUUAAAUUUCAGUGAGCAAUUUAAGAUAUGGACCUAAAUUCAGUGAGCAACCGAAGACAUUGACCUAAAUUCAGUGAGCAAAACUUGAUAUUUUAAUUUUAGUAACUAAUCAAUAACAUGGACCAAAGUUCAGUGAUCAUUGAAAUAAUUAACUCAAGAAAGAACAAAUACAAUCAGUAAAUGAAAUGACAAUUUGUAGAAUUUAAUCUCUUUAAGAAUAAUGAAGUGAAACAGUUCUCAAAUUCAAUAUAUGAAAAGUGGAAUUUAAAUGGAAGAAGGAUAACAUCAUUAAAAUUUACAAAUAUUUUUUUCACACUAACAUACACAAGAACGUGUGGGUAUGCAAUGAUAUGCCACAGAAUGAAAUCCAAAUUAAACUUGCAUUCAAUUCCGAAAAAGAUGGUGGCAAAGUAAUAAUAAGAAAUCUUGAUACCUUCAAGUUGAGCAAGAGUCAAAUUCAAGAAAAGGAUAAAAUGACUACGAUGCGCCGUAUGAAUUUAAAUGUGAUCCCUUUUCUUUUUUUUCUUUUUCUUUUUCCCUACUAUAAAGUUUUUCUUUUGUUUUUGACUGUUACCCUAUGUAUCUAUAUAAGUAUAAUUAUAUUAAUUUUCUAAUUAUUAGCCAAUUUAAAUCUGGUCAAAAUCCCCAUCUCAUGGUUAGUGGUUAAUCAAAUUAGACUAAAUUUAUUUUUCCUAAUAAGCUAAAAGCACAAAAUAAUAUAAAUAUAUUGUAUAAUUUAGUAUAGGCUUACUAAAACUAUUAACAUAUUGAAUUUAAAUUAAUAGGCACGUCGAUCAUUUAGGACGUUUAAAGUACAUUUCAUUGCAAAAAUAUAAUUAGUCAUGACAAAAAUAAUUAUAUUAAUGAAACAGUAAAUGUAACAUAAAAAUAAUAAUAAUAAUAAUCUAGAUAGACAUGACAAUCACCAAAAACAAUUAGAAGGCAUCACAACUUAUUUCUUAUGUUUGUAGUUAUAUAUGCAUGAAUAUUUUGUUACUUGAUUGUUUAGCUACCAAUUAAAUAACUUGUUGCUUAUUUAUAGUGUUUGGAGAGUCACAAUAAGUAGAACAUUGCACAUUUAAUACACAAGCACUAGGUAUUAGGAAUGAUAUUUAGGACGUGUACAAUCGUGUGUAAUAAUCAUAGGAUUGAAUGCUAGCUUUGCAUAUAAAUUUAGAAUAGGAAUAUGGUCGGGUCGAAUCGUGCUAGGGAUAUAUUUAAUAUGUCUUGAAAAAGAAUAUUGAAUAUUAAUGGAUUAUCAAUUGUCAUGAACAUUUGAAUAACAUUAACUUACUUAAGUUGAGAACUGGAAAAAGAAACCAAUAUGUGGAUUUUGAAAUCCAAUACAUUUGUCUCAUUAUUUGAUAAAACUAAUAUUUUGUAUUAUUCAUAACUUAAUUUACGAUAAUAACAAAUAUCACAUCUCUUUUAUGUUACUAAAAUUGAAUUUUGUAGAAGUCGAUAAAAAAUAACUAGUAAUUAUUUUUCGUGGGAUGAUAACUCAACUCAUCAAUUAUAUUACUUGUCAACGAUUAUGUACGCUUGUGAAUUUUGCACGAACAAGGUCCUUUCAUCACUACACGACUACAAGAUAAAAUCCUUAUAACUCACAAUCAUUUCUCUUUCUAUUGACAGGACCAAGUGAAAUGGGUUUUGUUUUGACAUUUUUGUUUAAUGAUCAUUGUAGGAAUUUAGCCCCCAUUUGAUGCCAAUUGUUUCAUAGAAUUGAGUUUUGUAAUAGUAAAUUUUUAUAAGAAAAUGUGAUUAAAAGGUAGGAAAUAUUUUGUGUUUAUGUGCAAAUUAAAUUAUUUUAUAGUGAGAAUGUGUUUUAGAAAAAAGUGAGUUUUGAAAUAAUGAAAAUCAAACAGUGGCUUACAAAGUAGGAGAAUUUUUAUGAGUGUCUUGCUUAUACAAAAGCAGGGCCGAUCCUGAGACCAGAGAAGUAAGGCCAGCGCCUCAAGCCUAAAUUCUCGGGGGGCCUCAUUUUUUGCCCCAGUUUUUUUUUUUUUUGAAUGGAAAUUACAUAAAACUAGGCAUUUAAAAGUUCAAAUUCAAGGAUGAAAUUUAUCUAUGCAAACAUCAAGUAUUAUACAUAGUUAAUUCAACCAAUUCAAUUAAAAAUCCUAAUCAAAUUCCCUAAUUCAAUCCCGUCACUUCCUUUCUCACUCUUUAAUCUCUUCCUUCUCCCUAUAACAAAUCGCCAUAGGAGAUCAGUCACCGACGACGCCAGAUCUAAUGUGAGAUCGGCGUCGUUGCACAAAAGAAUGGUGGAGGCUACAAGGGGCACGACAGUGACCUCUGCCCAGGAAUGCUGCUACUGCGCGAAGAUGAGCCGGAAGAAGACGCCGCAGGAGAUAUGUCUUGCUCGGAUUUUUUGAGCCAUAGCUCAGAGCAACGCCUAUGACUGCGCUCGUCGCGAUACCUAUGGGCACUAAUUGGGUUAAAAAGGUGUUAUUUUGUGAUGAAAGCUCUAUGAAUAGCAUCGCUUCACGAUGGGUUUAGAUAUGGUGUGGUAGCGGCCGUGUCGUGGUGUUGUGUGCGGUGGUGUUUGUGGUGUGGUGUGGUGUGAUUUUUUGGCCUGUUUUAUUGUGUUUUUAGUAGUUGGUGGUGGUGGUGGUGGGCUUGUGGAUUCUUUGGUGGGGGUGGUGGUUGGAUGUGGUAUAAAUAGAGAUAGAGAAAAUGGUGGUGGUGUACCGUAGGUAGUGUGGUGGUGGUGUUGUGGGCGUGAUGGUGUGGUGGUGUUAUCGGCAAGAUGGUGCUCAUGAUGGUGGUGGAAGUGGGUAGUGAUGCUCAUGUUGGUGAGAUGAUGGUGAUUUUGGCGGUGAUGGUGUCAAACCGUUGCUGUGGUGUUGAUGAUGGUUUUGGUGGUGAUUGUUGUGGUGGCGGUGACGGGUGGGGGCAUUUGUGACCGACAAUUAGGCAUCUGCGACCAACUAUUUAGGCGUCCUUGAGCAAAUAUUAGAUGUCUGUGACUAAAAAAUAAUUUUUGACAGAUAAACUAUGAUAUAUGUGACCCAUAGAUAUAAUGUAACUUGUAAUUCGAAUGAUCCGUGAUGUCGAAAUAAUAUGUGAUUUACAAAUUUUUUUAUUUGUCAUCACGAAAUAAUUUUGUGACCAAUCAAUUUGACGAUACGUGAUCAGUAAAUAAAUCUGUGGCCUAUAAUUAUGAACAUAUGACCAUUAAUCGUGUAAUCGUGAUUUUAUUAUCUUCAUUUAAUAAAUAUUUUAAUUAGUUAAAUAUAAACCUGAUUUUUGAAUUUUAAAAGUAUCUAUCUGAUUUUUGAAUUGGGGUAAACUUAACACGUGAGAUGUGAACUCUUCCCUUUCGUGGUAAUAUGGUAUUUUGUGGCCCAUUUUUAGAUUUUUGCUCGCAUUUGUUUAUGAUUUAUGCACGAGUGACGUCAAACGUGUGUUGUUGUGUUUGAUUUCUCAUUUCUGAUGUCAGCACCAUUGUUUGUAGUUAAUUUCCACUUCAUUUUUUUUCUAUGAUUAAUUUUCGUGCAGAGAGCUCAGAGAUGUUAUUUUUCAAGUUUUUGACUCAUAAUGCCUUAUUUUUUUUUUCUUUUGUGUAAUAUUCUUCUAGAUCUCUGGACUUGGGUUUAUCACCUUUGGUUUUAGCUCGCAAUUUAAUUCGAUUUAAAAGGUAUUUUGGGUUUUGAGUGUAUUUUUUUAAAGACUUCAUUUUUAUUUUAUUUUUAGUAGUUUCUGUUUUGGGCAUUUGACAUUUAUGAUUUAUUUGAUUUCUUUUCUGGAUUUAGGUAGCUUGAAUUUAUUGAAAUAGUGGUUUUUUUCCGGGUCAGUUUUGGAGUCCCAUAUUAAUGAUUUAACAGAAGCGCCAUAUGUUGAAUGUAAUUGGGGGAAAGAAAAUAAAGAAACACGCAUUCAGGGUGAAACUCCACAAUUUUUGUCGAAAUUCUACUUCUCAAGUAAGCACUUGCCCCAAUUAAUUAUUUGAAAUAUUGUUGAUUUUGAUAGUAUAUAAUAUAAAUCUUUUCUAUAAUAUAUUUGGUUGUUGUUUUAAUGUCAGUUUUUUAAAUUAGCAAAUGGUCGCAUAAUACAUUGUUAAAUUUUGUAUUUACGUUGAUUUCGCUGAAGGGCCUAAUUUACGAAUUUCACCUCAGGUCUCGACAAUCACAGGACCGGUCCUGUGCAAAAGAGUGCAUGUUGAAACAUGGACCAUUUGAUGGGCUCUAAGGUUUCUCCCAAGUAUUCAAAAAUGUCACAACAUGUAACUUUGUAUUUGAUGCAUGUAACGGUAUCGUAUCAAGGUGGUUCGGGUGGAUCGACUUGAAAAUGGUCUAAGUAUUGGAUUGGCCAACUUUUGAAGGUGGGCCUGUCGAGUUCGGUACUUAAAGUCUGCUGGCUGGUGUAAAAUCGUCUAUCAGUAAACAUGGACUUGCUUGGCCCAUAAACAUGUUAUUUUGCGUAUUGACACCACUACAUACUAUAUGAGCGAAACCAUAUAGCAUGCAACUAAAUAUUUGGAGAGGUAUUGAUGUGCAUGUAUAUAUAUCUAAUUUGGAUAUUAUUUUAACAAUUGAGAAAGUCACAUGUACUAAUGUGAUUGAACUCAUUUCCAUAUAAUGAACAUUAAAGUAGGUUCUUAGCUUUAGCAUUUAAGGACAAUUUUUUUUUUUUUUUUUUUUUUGGUCCUCUGGAUUUUAUGCUUUUUUAGGGCUAUUUUUAAUGUGGUUAUUCAUUUUGUAGAGGGUGUCUCUUAAAAAAGCUCCUAAGCUAAAUUUAUUGAUAAUAACUAGAGAAGCAAAGUUUAGGAAUCAAUCCGUUCUCUAAUUCAAUGCUCCUCUGUUCAUUUCUUAGGUCACCUCUUUCAGCUUCCAAAUAUUCGUCCAUUUUCUACAAUCAGGGCCUAUCCGGCCUUCACAUUUCUCAGGAAUUUUUUGUUGGCGUUGUCCUGGUUUUGGCAUGUUGGUGCAUUUUGAUACCACUACAAUAGAGUCAAAAGGAUCGACUUAGAGAAACUUUUAGAUAGAGAUGUAUAGUUAGAAACAAUCAUUUUUAGUAGUUAGACUUGUUUUCUUUCAAAUUUUUAAUAGAUAGCUAUAUCCAAAUAUAAUUCAACCUACCUUAAAACUGAUUUCAAUGUUGUUCAAUGCCUUCUAAUUGUCUUACCAAUCAUGCCAUAAACGAUAGGGUAAACUGAUUUCUUGGAGCAAUAUGGGGUUGAACUCCUCGAUUCAUUUGCACAUCCUUUGGGGAAUGGGGAUUCUUCACCCCAAGAGCCAUACAAUACAAAAAUUUUGUAAAUCUCUUAAAUUCUAAGGGUGCGUUUGAUUAUUAAUAUUUUUAAUGAAAAAUGUCAUUUUUUAUCCAGAUUCUUACUUUUGUUCUGUUUGAUUAAUAUUUUUUUUUAUGGAAAAUAUUUUUUUCUAUUUUUAGUUACAUGACCAUAUAUAUUUUUCUUGAAAGCAAGAAAAAUAUUUUCUUUACGAAGAGUAGAUUUUUAUUUUUCAGAUAAUUCUCUUUCAUCUACCUCAUCAUCUCCCUCAUCUACCCACCAAUAAAAAAAAGGACAAGUAUAACAUUUUAUAGGUUGAAAAUUAAAUUAAUCAAACACAUUUAAUUGAUAAUUUUCAUGCAAAUAAGUUAUAAACAAUUUAAUUGCCUAGAAUUUAUUUUUUCAUGUAAAUUACAUGCUUUUAAACAUGUCCAUUUAACCUGUUUUUACAUGCAUAUUAUCCAACUUGACAAUUACUUUGUACCAAACAUGCUCUAAAUAAUCGUAAAACUUAUAUUGCAUAGCUGAAUAUUUAUACAAUUAUUUUUCAGAUGCAGAGAGUCUGAAGUUUUCUUGGAGGAUCCAGGGGAGGUUGACGUAUGGAGAGAAAUUAAAUAUGUUAGAUGAGAAAAUAACUGUUAGCCCGUGUAGUUCUUAUUAAUCAUUACAAGAAAAAGUGAACGUGAUUUAGUUUGGACGGUUUGUGCUAUAUUUUCAACUCAAACCAUUUUGAUGCUUUUUGGAAUUUUUUGAAACCAAACCAAACCAAACCAUUUUAUUUUUUAAACCAAACCAAAAGUAAAUCAUUAUAUGCGUUUGAUUCGAUUUUAAUCCGCGAUUUACCUAUGAAUGGCAUGUUUUCUCCACCCAAAUUAUUCUUCACAACUAUAGAUGUAUGUUUUCCCAUUCCACAUACCACCGUACUCUCAACAGUAACGAAGACCGAAAAAAUACAAUUUUUGAAAGAGAGACAAAUGCUAGAAAUUGUUAAAAAAUCGUGAUGCCAAUUCUAACAAUGCGAAGGUCAUGAUUCAUGAAUAUAUUUACCUAUGUUUAACAAGUUACCAUAUCAAAAAUGAGGAUGCAGUAGUUAUUCUCUUUUCUUAGGUAAAAUAUAAAGUAGAUAUGACAAAGAUUUCAUAAUUAGCCUUGUUUCACAAAAAGCAUAGGUAGAUGUAAAAAAAUUACUUACUUCAGCAGCCAAAAGGGAAUUGAGGUAGUAAUCAAAUCCUGGGUUAACAGCAGCAAGUUUUAUCGACAAACUGAACCAUUUUGAGAUGGUUCGAUUCAGUUUUGCUCGAUUUUUGAAAAUCAAAACCUAAACUAAAUCAUUUUAAAACGGUUUGACUCGAUUUGAGGGAAAAAAAUCGCAUGUCCCUUGAACCCGAACAAACAAUUUCAAACCAAUGGAUUCAAUUCUGUUCGUGGUUAUACGAUUUUUUUGUGCUGUUACAAACUGCAUAGGAAACAGUCAUUUGCUAUCCAAAUCAAUGGCAUAUGCAGAUUGAGUAGACUUCUUGAUUCAUUUCCAUUUUUUUCCCCCUAUUUUGGCUACUCAGAGUCGGGUACAAUCUAAAUUCCUACAAGAAGUGCGUUAUGCAACUUUGUUUUAGUGUUUCGAAAAGUGUCAAGGAUGUAAGUAAUAUUGGACAAUUGGCCAGUAACGAGAUUUUAACUUUUUCUUUCCUUGUACAGUCAGUCACGAUCUAAUCCUCCCGAACAGAAUGAAGUUUCAAGGGAGUAAAAACCCGUAAAACACUGAUCUUGUACGAAAAUCAGCUACACAUUCAGAGGCCAUAAAGAGAAGCAAAUGGAAGUUCACAUCGCUCCUAGAGAGAGAGAGAGAGAGAGAGAUCUGACCUGCAUGAGUAUCGGAAGAAAAUACCAAGAGAAUGAAGAAACUGCAGAGAAAAAUGAAAACUUAUCGCCUUUUAAAUAAUACAUGACAUUAAAUACUGUAUACAUAUCAGAAAAUGCUAUUUAUAGUAAGAUAAACACUCCCCGGCUUCGUUAUUUCUAUCAAGAAAGUGUUUGGCUUGAAAUUUGAGCGAUUUCGAGUAGAAUUUUGUGCAGUGAUUGUGGCUUUGAGAAGAAAGGACAAUGAUCACUGCCCUUAAUUUUAAAGACUCCUUCAGGUGGAUUUUCCCUCACAAGUUUUUCUUGAACGUCGGGCGAUAUUACAUGAUCGUCCAGUGUUUGAAUGUAAAAUUGCCGGCCAGUUCCAUACUUCUCAGGCGAGAGAGACAGUGCCUCCAUCAUGGGACCAAGAGGGGUCAGUCGCAUGGAAACCAUUGCCAAAGCAACAUCCUGAAAGCAACAAGGCAUACAUCUCAAUAGGCAUCAGCCCAAAAAUAAAAAAACCCAUGAAAAAGAAAUUCCAAUAAAUUCAAGGUCGACUAUGUGAAUACAUUUUUUCUUUGUAGUCUAAAAUCCAUGAAAAAAGAAUAUCAUAUGAUCCAAGGGCAAAAUGAUGGCCAGUUUUAUGAAAUCCUUUUCGUCUUUCCAGUUUCUUGUGACUAGAAACAUCAUGAUGGUCACCCUCCUUUAAUAUCCAUGCCACAACCCGACAGUCUUAGAACAUCAUUUCAACCAUCUAACGUAACGUGUUUUUAGUUAAACAAUAUCAACGCUGUUAAGAAAUAUAGAAUUAUUUAUUAAUUAUUAAGGGUAGAAUAAUCAUUUUUAGUUUUCUUUGUUUAGCCUAUAUAUAUUCUCUUUGUAUUUAGGUUAAAUCAUCUUUUAGCAUUCAAUUAAUGUAGUAUCAAUGAAAUCCUAGCCUCCUCCUUUUUCUUUAUUUUCUUUUGGAUUGUUUAACAUGGCAUCAGAGCUAGGUUUCAUGGGACAAAACUUAAUCUCAAACACAGCUUUCGUGGAUGGGGGAGAAGUUUUAUUUAUGGCUUAAAAUCUUUUCAAUUCACCUGGAUCAGGGGGAUCAGGAAGAAAGUCGAAAAGUCUUCUGCAUAAAUAUACAUUCGUCUCCAGUUUUUAUACGGUGCAUAUGUUGACAUGCUAGUGUAUUAGCACGUGCAGCAGUUCCUUAAACCACGGAUAGAAAUAGUUAAGAGAGCUUCCAAAACUGGCUGCUUGAUUCAAAAAGUACCUUUGAAGGAGAUUGAUUAAAAUAUAAGCCGUGCAUUUGCUGCUUCUCAAACAUGAACCCUGUGGGAAGCUGGUCUUUCCCAUUCCCAUAAACUAGAAACUUCGACUCCUGUAUGAAAAGUUCUGCAGACCCAAGCUGCAAACCAGAAUUUUAACAUUUAGCAUUUGUUUGGCACACAGUAUUUUGGCAGUACUAAUGAGUACAAUGGACAAGAUUUUAGCUUAUUUUUCUUUCUUAAUACUAUUCCUCUGUUGCCUAGUUCACCAUACCAAAUACAUCAUAAUGGUCAAAAAAUUAGGGACAACUGUUUGUUAACAGAAGUAUUUGGAAGUUCAUAGAAUGAAAUGUAAUUUUCUGUCCAAGCUCGGUUGGGAUCAACAACCUCCGCCAGCACAAAUGUUGUGAAUAUUUUAUCACCGUAUAGGGCUAAAUGGUUAAAUAUGAUUUGCAUCAAAUUAGCACUUUUCAGGCCCAAAACUUUUAUGCGGAUUGGCUAGAGUAUACCUCUUCUGCAAAUACAUCAAAUGGUCUCUGUCUGUUGGAUAUCAUCGUUGCACAAAGGAACACAGCUUUUGAGAUCUUCUGAGGGAAAUGCUCCAAGGCAUAGGAGCAAGCUCCUCCACUGCUAUGAGUCUAUGACCAACCAAUAUUACCUGCAGAGAGAAACAUUAUAAUAAUAGGGCCUACGAAAAAUAAUGGGGGAGUGAUUUUUAAGCUGUAAGCAUGUUUGUCUUAGCUUAAAAAGUUCAAUUAUAAGUAAAAUAAGUAUGUUUUAUAAUAAAUAAUUUUUUAUUGGUCAAAGUUGGAAAUAAAGAAGUUAUUUAUUUUCACAUUAAGAUAAAGAGUUACAUUCAAAAACAAUAAUUUAUUCAAACAUGUUUCGAAGUAACUUUUACUUUUUCUAACCUUAGCCUAACAUACCUUUCAUGAUCAUCAAAUACCUUUUCAUCUUCUGGUAAAUUUUGCAGAUAUUGAAUCAAUGGUUUUGAGUAGUCUGUUAGAGUAGUGAUGUUGUUAGUGUCUUUUAGAUCAAUGCCAGAUCCUGUUAGAUCCAAGGCAAUCGGUAGUAAUCCUGCUUCCUCGAGCAGCACAAUAGUUUUAUACCAACACCAUGCUCCAAAUCCUUCUCCAUGUAUAAAAACAAAUUUCUUUGUUUCGAUAUUCUCCAAAUAAUCUGGUAACUAAUAAAACAUGUAUUUCAGUUAACAAAAACGUGACUGGGGGGAGGGGACGGAAAAUAUUGUUUGGAGAAAAGGAACACAGUGACUCAUUACUUGCAAAGCCUAUUUAGCGUACAAAUAAAAUGAAUAAUUAAGCAUCAUUUACAAUCAUACUAAUGUUCUAUGGAUCAUGAUUAUGACUCUCAUAAGCCUCAAAGAUAUGUUUAGAUGCACCAUAACAAGUCACGUAAACACCUUAUACACAUCUAAAUAAUUACCAAUCAAUUACUUCUAGGGAGAAGGACAAAAUGCAAACAAGGAUUUUUCGCAGCUAACAACUUCAGGAGAUAAAGAAUAUGUGAAAAAUGAAUUUACUUUGCCGUUAUCAAAUUAAGUUUUCUUUGGUUGCCAACAAGAAUUAACAGUCUGUUUGGGAGGGAUAUUUUACCCCAAAAAAUUGAAUUUUUGACCGUUAUUUCAUUAUUUCAGCCGUAAUUUUUGAUUUAUUCUCUCACAGGUGGACCCCACUUUUCUUUUAACGAUCAAAAAAUCAACUCUCAAAAUCCCUCCCAAACGGGGCCUAAAAUACUUUCUAUCUUUUGUUAUAUUCAAGGGGAGAAAUUAUGCUACUAUUCAUUCUUCUUUAAACCUACACGAAACCCACAAAAGAAUAUGCAUUAAACAUCAAUAAAAGUAAAUAAAGAACACCCACACAAAAAGCUCUCCGAAAGACUUACUAAAAUAAAGGAAGAAAAAGAUCUAUCGCCCCAAAUUUUUCUUCUCACCUUUUUCAAACCAUAAUGAACCUUGACCUCCCUUUUCAAACACAAAAAUUUUCAGAGCUAACUUAAGCGACAUGAUCACAAACUAAAUAGAUAAUAAAAUAAUACCAAAAAACCCAACUUUUCCCCCUACGGAUACUAAUCAUUACUCCACCAAAACGCACGAAGAAAUACUCUACACAAAUACAAACAUAUACUAUUACUUAAAGCUAAUUGCUGCAAAGUAUAAAGCAAACAUAAUAGCAGUAUAUAAGGAAAAAACCUGUUUGGUAUUAGUAUUUGAAAAGUGGUCGGAACAAUUGGUGGCGCGGCGGCGGGAGCUGGUGGAUCCAAUCCGCCGUGACAUGGAUCCAUUACUGUUAUCAAAUCUUUGGGACAAUUGGUGUUGCUGAAUUGCCAUAGCCAGUGCCUGCCGAUGAAGCAAUUCUUCUUCCAUUGAACUCCUUCUCCUUGACAUUGACCCCCGUUUGCUUUUCGAUCCAAUCCCAACAUUCUUACUUUCUUUCUUCGUCAUGCAAAUAAAUUUAUUCCCCAUCUUUAACAAAUUACUGGAUUUGAGCAAAGCCCUGGUUUUCACUUUCUUCUCUUAUCACCAAAAAAGACUGGAUAUUUAACAAAGCCAAAUUUUAUUUUCUUGAGAAUCGCCAAAAGGACUUAAUUUCGAAAAAAGCCCAGAUUUUAUUUUCUUGAAUAUCACCAAAAAGACUGAAUUCUGAGGAGCGAUAAAGGAAUUAGUAGUAGGUGGUGGUGGAGAGUAGUGGAAAGGGGUGGCUCUAUAUAUAAAUUAAAUGUAGUGAGAAGAAAAUUUGGGGAACGAAACACAGAAAACCAGCUCAACAUCUGCAAAUGAAAGCAGCAAAUUUAUUGCCCUCUUUUUCAACGUUUGUAUUCUUCCUCACUGACUCCCAAUUAAGACAUAAUUAUUUCUUUCUUGUGUUACCUGCUCAAAAUCAUUUCAUAUUUACCCCAAAGAAAAAUGUGUCAAUAGAAUCUGACCUCAUCCUCUCCACUGAGCAUAAUUUGCUAACUGAACACCUCUAUAGAAGGCAAAGGUCAUCCAAAGAAAAAACAAUCCGAUGACUAUUUGAAUUUUGACGAUCAAGUUAAUGGUCGGACGAAAAUAUAAGAGGUGCAAGAGACCAAAUAGGGGAUUUGGUUAAGAUUAAAAAAAAAAAAAUCAUAUUAUGGAAUGAACACACAUUUAUAUAAAGAAUUGAAUGGGCCAAGUGGACAUGAUGGGCCGAGUUCCAAGCCCAAAGAUAAUCCUUGAUUAAAUAGGUAAAAUCCAAAUAAACAAUCGAUGUUGAGACUAUUUGUUAAUGGGGAAGAGGAACCAGGAAGCAGCGAAACUCGAAAGAGUUUGAGAUGCCCCAACUGGGCCAUAUUAAAAAUUCUCUGGUAAGUGAAUUGUAAUUCCCAAGGGUCUUCAACAACUAAAGACCGUAGAUUCUUAAGGCAAUAGGAAGAGGAAUUUCAUUUUGAUAUGUGACAGCUAUGUACUUGAAAUUAACUAUUUCAAGUAUUUCAUCAGGAAACUUUUAAGCUCUAUUUCAACCAUAUCUAAUAACCUUAGCAGUCGACAACCAAAAUAAUAAUUAGAAUACAAAUGAGUAUCAUUCUGACCAGUAUUAUAUAUACAAGCACAGAAAAGUGAAUACUCAUACUUUGCGGCAAAGUUUCCAUUUUAGAAAAGACGCGUAGAUACCUUUUCUUCACAUAGAGAAUUUCCUUUCCUGAGCUAUCCUCACACAGAGGUCCCUCAGAAGACAAUGCAUGAUGCAGGCUUUAACUUUUCCAUUAAUAGACCAUUUUUUAUGAACCAAAAUAAGAUUUCUAUCAAUAAGAUCCCCAAGAUAAUCCUGUGCAACCUCUUCAAAGUGUUUAGAUUCAUGUGGAUUUCAGUUAUGCAAAAUAUGUCCUUGAGUCUUGUAUAUCGGAUCGUCUCCUUUCAAAACCUUAAAAUCAUUCUGUAAACAUGCUAUCUACUGAAAGUAUCAUCUAAACUUAAAGAAAGUAAUGACAAAAAUUGGUACCAUUAUAGAAGAGGUAAUGAAGAUUAAAUAUGUGAGAGGCGAACAAAAUCUUCAGCCAAGGAAUUUUUUGCCAUCAAGACUUGGUCCUAGUGACCAGACCCAAACUAAUAUGGUGGGAUUUGCUCAAAACUUGCAGUUGGACCUGCCUUAUCCCUACACAUCGAAGGAAGUUUUUGAACAGAGUAUUCGGACGUCAAUUGGACCUGAAUUUAAUCCUGUCAUAGCAGUUGGAGCUCUUAUUCGUCCUGAGAUUCACUUUUAGAACAUUUGUCUUCUUUUCUUUUCCAAGUUUUCUUCUCUAAAUCUUAUUGCAUUCAUUCUCCUAUGGUCACUUGCAUCUAUCAAUGUUGAAUAUAAAAAGAGCUUUUAGUUCACAGAAUGGAGCUGUUGAGAAAAUUAAGAGUAUGUUUGGCUAAGCGUAAAAUGUUCACUUGUAAGUUUGCACUUUUACUUAGUUGUUCUAAAUAAAAUAUGCCACCAUGAGUGGUUUUUAAUUGAAACGAAGAUGAAAAUAAAGUACUUAUCGUUGGUCAAAGUUGGAAAUAACUCUUUUUACUUAAAAAUUAAGUUAAUCAAAGGAUAUGUUUGUAGACAAAAUUUUUAAUCAAAGGAUAUGUUUGUAGACAAAAUUUUCUUACUUUCAAGCUUUAACCUGGCAUGCUCUAUGUUUCAUUUUAGCACAUGUAGCUCACGUUUUGGCUACUUAUGGACAGGUGGUAAAGAGAGCUGGUGUGAGCAUCAAACAUAUCUAAUUUCAGGAUGUUAAUCCCCAUGAAAAAGUGUAAAACCGUAAGCGCAAGAGACAAAAACCAAGCAGUGGUAAAGAUAAGAGUCGAUCUACGAAAAAAUGAAUGUGAAGGAGAUAGAAGCAAAGUGAUGCUGAAAUUUUGGCCAAACAAUAUCACAAUCUGAAUGUUGUGCUUAUGUUUCUUUGUGUUUUUCAGCUUUGAUAUUUAUAUUUAAAGAUAUGCCGAGAUGUUUCAUUUUGGCUCUACAUUAAUUAUUCCACGUCAAUCAAGAGGAUGUAAUUAUAGGGAAUUAAAUUACUAUUAUUUUGGUGAUUUAUAUAAUUCGAAGGUUCGGUCAUGGACCUCUAUGUCAGUAUGUUGGCCGAGGCAAUGCACUUGUGGUGUGCGCUUUUGGCACUGACAUGAGGCAAGCAAUGUUUAUUUACUUGAUGACGACAUUGCACGUUGUAUAAGGCGGGGAUGGGUUAUAGAUGUUGGCUUGUAGGCAACAUGGCAAGGUCGAAUUCUAGCUAGCUACUCAGCUCAUUUCAGUCCUCAUUUGAUGCAAUCUAAUUGCUGUUGUACUAAAAGGUGAAACCUCAAUGCCAUAAAUUCUUCGACAGCCCCAUGUGACACCAUCCUAUAUAGUCAUUUUGUUCAUUCUGUUUUGAAUCCUUGCUGGCCAAGAAUCAACAAAUUCUUGACACGCAAAACUCAUCCAACCAUUACAUCCCACAAAGAAAUAUGAAAGGUAUUGCCUUUCAACAAGAUCACGGCAAGAUUGUCAACAUAAGGCAAAUUAAUGAACCGAUUUUGUGAAGGCUCAAUAGCAGGCAAAAGGAAACUUACAAAUUAAAUAAACCACGAAGCCUUUAAGAUGUGCAGCUCAGAAGAUAUCAAUAGUUAAAUUGAACCCUCUUGCAAAUGAAACAGCACAGUUCUCCAGUGUCUCCGAGAAAACACCACAUUCAAGUUGCAAUAUUAUAACAAUUGACCACCAUAGGCCAAAAUCACAACUGUACCCCCCAGGAAAUUUGCACUCUAUCAUGUUACGAGAACUGUUAUAAACAUAAGGGACUUCAACACUACCGAUUCUCAUUCUAAAGCAAACAGAACAGAAUAUAAAUACAAUUGCAAAAUCAAUUGGAAGUAUGUUGUCAAGUUUUAAGAUGCGGGGAGAUUGGCUAGCCAAGGAAGCAAAUUCUCGUGCACUAAGUCAGGCCUGUCAUCAUGAGGGCAAUGACCAACGCCUUCCAACAAAAAGAGGUUCACAUUUGGCAGUCGAGAAGGCAACGACGAGAAGUAUUUACCAACAGGUCCAUCAAUCGGUGUAAAUGGAUCUUGAUCACCCCAUAACACGAGGACAGGUAAGUUGAUUUUCGGAAUUAAUUGCAUUGGAUUCGGCCCAGGGGGGCCAGUUACAAUGGAAACAAAAGCAUCAAGAGCCCCUUCAUCUUCUGCUGGUUUCUUAAUAAUCUGCAUUUAAAGAUAAGGAAAACAAAUGGAGUAUCAAAUAGAGAAACUGUACAGGGCGGGUAAAAUUUAUUCAGAAUUUAGUCGUACAUCCACAAGACCCUCAUCGACAUUAUCCUUAUUGCCAUAGACGGAUGACAAGAUGUUCCUCAGACUGUCUCUGUACAAUUGACAUAAACUUGUUAUAAUUGCUUAUAAGCUGGUAAGUUUUUUUUGUUUUUUUGUUUUUAAUCCACAUAUAACACAACUUUUACUUUUUAACCACACAUUCUUUGGGACUCCUUGCUUAUAAGCACUUGAAACCUUACCCAGCAAGCACGAUCCUCUUAUGUGAUGAUAACAAAAACAUACUUAAGCAGUACCUUUGUCUAACACGAUCAAACAAAUACGAUGCAAUCCCUUUUUGCUUCAAUAAGAAGUCGACAAACCAAAGCAAAGGUAACAGUAGCUUUAUCCUCCAGUCAUCAACAAUCGCCUUGUUGUUCAUGCCGCCAGCACAAUUUAACAGAACGAGCCCUCGAACUAGGGUCCUAGUAGACUCUGUUAGGAAUGAAAAGGUAAAAAGCACAACCGAGCCAACAUCAAUUAGAGCUAAGUAGUUGUCAGCAAAGGCAUAUCUGAUAGGGAGGAUUGGUAGCACUAAGAGUCGAGUUCUAUCCAAUAUAUAGCACACCAACGUACUCUAAAUGUUUUACAAAAGAGUGGAUCAUUGUUUGGCUGGAUGUAGCAGAUUAAUACAUACCUGCAGCGGCAAUUACGCAAGCAAGACUUCCAACAGAGUUCCCCAUUAGUAUCGCCGGCCUUUGAACAAUUUCGUCUAAGAAGUCCAAUAUCAUCUGUCCACAUUAUAAUAUUGAAUAACAGAAGGCUUCGUAUAGUGAAUAACUAGUUGAGUAGAAAUCCUUCAUAAAGAAAAUGGUUGAUAUCAUUUGUUUACCUCAGCCCAUACUUCCAUGGAAUAUGCAAAGCCCGCUGGCUUAUCUGAAGCACCAAAACCAAGGAGGUCAAUGGCGUAAACUGUAUAACUUUGAGCCAGAGUCGGAAUAUUCCUAAAAUGGCCUCAAAGGCAGAAAAGUAGGAUUUAGUUGUUGGUUAAAACACCAAUACAUCACAAAACUUUCACUCGUACUAGUAGCAUUAGGUAACUUCCUUAAAAGAAUCAUAUUUCACAUUGGUGGAGAAGUUGGUAAAUUAAAUCAACUAGACAAGGCAACAAUUAACGAAGGAUAGCUUAAAAGAAUUUUUUUAGUUUAGAUUCACAAAUUAAGUCUAACAGUGGAAUCCUAGUGUACAACGACGUUCUUUUUAACAAAGUUGUACCUGUAUUAACAUUGGAUGGCCUAAAAAAAAGAGAGACAUGGAUAAAAUCUUAAAAACAACACUUAUUUAUUAGGAAUGGGAACUAAUGAUUUCAAAAGCACGACUUGUUAUUGAUUUUUAAAUUGGAAAAGAUGAUUGUUGGAAUAGAACUGCGCUAUAUGAACAUAAUGCAUUUGGAAAUAAUGUUAAUCAGUCCAGAAAAAUUUUGAUUGCGACUACCAAAAUAGAUCAGAAAAUUUAUAAGUCAAGGAAGUCCAAAGUUUGUGGCGUUGCCUUAAAAAUUAGAAUUAAAGAUCAAAUAAAAGCAGGAUCAUUGACACAAGUGUAUUCAAUGUAUAAUUAAAAGUAAUUGUUGACUUUGACUUAAAUUCAAAUCCAAAGUUUAAUCCUUACCAAACAAGGACUAAGUCUUAUUAGUUAUAUUUUUUCACUUAAUAAGCAAUUUAUACAUAAAAAUGACUUUUUGUGUUAUAAGAAAUUUUUUGGUCUAUAAGUAAAUUUUUUUAAUUAUUGUAUUUCUCAUUUAUAAGAAAUUCUUUUUACGUAUAGGUUUUUUCUCUUGUAAAUUAUUCUUUACUUCUUAAGAUGACCUCCAUUAGUUUUAAACAAUGUGGGUUGAAGACUGUCAAAAACCACAGCUUUGGUGGACAUGUUUUGGAUGAAUUUUUUUAAACCAACCAAAAUUAGUUCUCCAAAAGCUAGAAUAGAAGGCAAAAUACCUUACUUCUGUAUACUCAAGUGAGUAGAUGUUUGCUCAAAUGAAUUAGUCGUCGGAGAUUCAAUUGAUUAUUUGAAUACAGACAUUAAAAAAAAUGACUCUUUCAUGAAGGAAUACAUCCAUUCGUACAAAAUCGUCUCACAUCACAUAUGUUGAUAGUAUUCAUCUUCCAAAGCUUACAAACCUAAAAUCUAGAUUCUUAUAUUGUUCCAUGUUUCUUUAUGAGUUUACUUCUUUGUUUGGUGCAAACUCCGCAAGGAUUGUAAUUUGUUGGCAAUAUUUUCCAGUAGAUCUCAUUAGAUAUCUCAAGAAGAAGGGGGAAGGGGGGAUAUCGACAUUACAUCAUGUGUUUCAAGCCUCCUCAUACUUCAAUUUUUUCUUCCAUUUUUUUUCUGGUCUCCAUUUCUCCUUCUCCGAAGUUGUUUUUUCAAAACGUUUAGCAUUUUUUGGGAGAAAUUUUUCAAGUGAAAAAUAAUUUUAUAUGUUUGGGCACUAUUCCUAACUAUCUUUUCUUCGUUAAUUCUGCCUACUCAAGCCUGAUAUAUCAAACAGGCUAACAGCGUAUAGAUGCAUAUGCACAAAUAAACUACAUACUGUUGUUAAAGCUGAAAAAUAAAAGAUUAAUACAACAAAAUCCCAUUAAAAAUAAUACCUGCGCCAAUGAGCAAUGGAGGCACCAAAACCGUGAAUUAGCAGAAGAGGCGGAUUUGAAGAAUCAUUAUUGCCUCCUGGGUAAACAAAAUAGUUAAUGGUGUAACCUUUCCACACCCAUUUUUUGCACUUUUCAUUUAUCUCACUCACUUCCAAUGGCAACAACACCUCCUGUUAUGAGAAGAAUAAUAAUUAUAUAAAACUUACACUACUUCUCUUGACAACAUUUAUUUUUUAAGAUGCACCAAUGAGUCUGAUUAACAUAUGGUAUCAGUGUCCAAAAACUCAAACGAGCAAUUCAAUCAAUCUAAACCUUAAACGAGCAAUUCAACAUGUCUAAAGUUUAAAGUGGCAAUUCAAUCUGUUUAAAUAAAAUAUGAAAACAACAAAUUUUAAGAGUGAACCAAAACUCAAUACCCUUUUUUCAGUUGACGCAGAAGCAGUAGAGGCAUUAAUUACACUAAUGGGAUUCUUGAAUUUACUGUAGGAAGAAAUUUUGGAAAAUUUUUGUGAACUGCAGAUGGGAUUGUACUGUUUUGGUAGAGUAAUUGAAGGAGAAUGCGUUGGAAGGAAAAUAUAGGUUGCAGCAAGAUUUACUGCCGUGCCCAUCUUUAUUUACUAACAGAAAAAUGCAUGGAGAGUGCAAAAAUUUCAGAUAUUUUAUGGAGUUCGCAAUAGGGGGAUAAGGAGGAGGAGAAACUGGAACCACCAAAAUGGCACAGCCAUGACCUCUAAAUCUUCAGGGAGAACUGAACUACAGAAUCAUCCAUGGGGACCAAUCAUAAUUUGUGGACCAAAUUUAGUUUCGAUUUGAUUUUUUAAUGAGGUGGGUUAUCUUGGGCCACCUCUACAUUUUGAUGCCACUACAUGGAGGAGAGAAGUGAAAUCAAUUAAUUUAAUGUUGUUUUUUAUUAUAUUUAUUUUUCAUGAAAAAUAUUAAUUUUUCACCCAAAUUUUUAUUUGAAGUGUUUGAUUAUUAAUUUUUUCCAUGAAAAACAUUUUUCGUCUUUUGAAAAUAUGCAUAAUUUUCCUUGUUUUUAAGGAAAACAUUUUUCUUGGGUGGAGGUGAUUUUUAUUUUUCGCAAAAGAAAGAAAAUAUUUUCUUUUCUAAGUGAUAUUUUCCACGUCAAUUAAACAUACUCUAAAAGUUGGGUCAAAGAUCGAUCAUAUGUGUGAUACCUGGUGUCACUUUUACUCUAGUUAACUUUGAUUCGACUAGAUUGUGCUAAUAUGGUGAGAAAAUGGGGGUGUCUCUAAAUUAAAGGAAUAUUUUUGAAUCUCAUUCUCUAAUUCGUCUUUAAAGAAUUUUAGAUCGUAUUUUCUUUCUAUUUUUGUGAAAGGCGUGAACUUGAAAAUGUUGUAAGCUUCGCAUGUAUUUAUAUGCAUGUGUCGAAGUGAUCUACAAAUAUUCGUACUUUAAUUUUUUUUUAUUAUAUUGUUAUAUUUCAUAUUAGUAGUAAAUUUUGAGUAUUUAUAUAGACCAGAAUGUUAAGCGCUCUUAUCAUGUCAAAACUCAAUUACAAUAUUAUUUUCGCACAAUAUUUUAUAAAGAUUGCACGCUUAUUUUUUUGAAAUAAUAAAUGGGCAAAACAAAUUAAGUCCAUGUUUAUUGAGAAUUGAAAUUAGAGAUUUUGUAAAUUUUGAAAAAAAAAAUUGAUGAAAUAUAUCAUCGAAAAUUUAUGAAUAUUUAUGAUUGAAACCAAUGAUUGAUUUUGAUUAAAAUUAAAAUUUUAAUUUUAAUUCUUAACAAACCUGGACUAUGUUUAAAAGGGUACUCAUAUUUUCAAUAACAAUACUAUCAACCUGAAACAUCAAGAAAGCCGUUCUUUAAGUGAUAGAAUUUGAUAAAUUUAGGUCCCAACAGAAAUGGUCCAAACGUGGUACUGUGAGUGAAACUGUCUCUAGGAACAAGAACAACCAAAAUGUAGACACGUACAUUUCUACAACAACAUGCAUCAUUACACGUGUUGCAUAUUCAUAACCUACAGUUCUCUACGUGGCCACAUUUCAACUUCUUACAUAUCCCCAAAUUUACUUCUAUCUUCCAGUUAUAGAGACAGAAAUUAUUAGUUAUAGAGAACGAAAAUGAUGAACGUUUUGGCUUUAAGUCUUGUACUGACCACACUUGUAACAGCGGGUGUGUUUUCUCCAAGCCCACAAAAGCGCAAUCCAAGAGAAGAUGAUGUUAUAGUCAAAGAAGGGCAUAGAGUUGUGGUGGUUGAGUAUGAAAAAGAUGAUAAAAAUACCAAAGUUUCAAUUUCUCCUCAAGAAACUACAAAUUUUAAGGAUAAAUUGUCUGAAAAUAUGGAGGAUGCAAAGAAGAAAAUAAACGAAGAAGGAAUUCACCAUGGAUUUAGUCCUAGAGAGCUUGUGUGUGAUGCUUAUGGCAAGUGUAAGCAUAAAAUUGUCAGCGCCAUUGGAAAAACUAAAGAUACCCUUUCCGACAAGGCCCACGAGGCGGCUGAGACGGUCCACGAGGUGGAGGAGGAAGCAAAAGAGGCUAUUGGUAGUUUGAAAGAUAGGGUUACUCAUAAAUCCCAUGAAGCAAGAGAGUAUGUGAAAGAUACAGUUUAUGAAAAGGCUAGUGAAGUGAGGGGGGCGACGGAGAAGGCGAAACGGGGUGGUGCUGAAACUGCAAAGAAUCUACAAGGUGAGAUCGAGAGGAAUGGCUCGAGAAUAAUAGAUGCGGCAAAAGAAAAAGUCCCCGACAGCGCGAAAAAGGCAGGAAAAAUUGUGGGAAGUGCCUCAGAGAAAGUGAAGGAUAGUGCAGAAAGGGUUAAAGAAGAGGGGGAGAAAGGGUUGAAUCAAGUUCUACGGGGCAUUUUCGUGAGUGCGGCUCCGGUGAUGGGGAUUUUAGGUUUGUUGGGUUUAGCCACUGCUUAUGGAAUGUGUAUGUGGUUUACAUUUGUUUCGAGUUUUGUUUUGGCAGGGGCACUGCCUAGGCAGCAAUUUGCGAUGGUGCAGAGCAAGAUUUAUCCAGUUUAUUUCAAGGCCAUGACAUAUAGUGUAGGUCUGGCAGUUCUAGGACACAUUAUAUAUCGGACUAAAAGUUGGUCCUCAAUGAGACAGGAGAUUGUCCAAGGUUUCAAUCUCGGGGCACCUUUGUUGAUGAUUUUGGUGAAUUUUCUCUACUUGGAGCCUCGAUCCAGUAAGGUACAUGAUAUUACUAUUGGAUAUUGAGUUGUUUGUAUUUAUAAUAAUCAGCUUAUUGGUGCAUGUGUUGCUACUGUUUUUGAAUGACUCAACAGUACAAUAGUUGACACCUUUGGACUUGGAAUAAUGCAACGCAGGUGAUGUUGGAGAGAAUGAAAAAGGAGAAGGAAGAAGGAAGAGGGAAAGAAGGGUCGGCCAGCGGUGAUGCAGCAGGUCGAGAGGAAGCGGCACAGCUGAAUCAAUUUUCAUCCUUACUCAAUGUUGUUACGCUAAUGUCCCUUACCUGGCACCUCGUAAACCUCGGACAGCAUCUUAAUUCAGUCUGAUAAUGCUUAAACUGAGCAGUGGAAGGUUUCCUCUUGUAUUUUAGUUUUUCAUGUUAAAUAACCUAUAUUUGGUAUUGUUUGGAUGCUGAGAAUAAUAAAAGGGUAAAUUUCACAAAAUGUUCAUUUUGUCAUUUGCAAAAAUGUCCACUAUUCCAAAAAUGUCUAAUUUGGAAGGAUUUAGACCAAAAUAACAAAAAAAAUGGACUUUUUGCAAUAUUGUUAUUGGCCAAUAAAAUUUUGACACGUAAUCUGUAAUAUUUAUUUCAAAAAAGUAUACAUGUCAAAUCACAAUAAAUGUUAUGUUUUUCCUUAAUUCAGAAAUGUCAUGUCAAGAACGACAUUUUUAAAUGUAGAGAAUUGUUAUAUUCAAAAUGAAAUGUCAUUCUAGACAAAUGAAACGGUGUUUAAAUAUCGAGAAACAUUAUUUUAAUGUAACUUCUCAUGGAAGUCACUUUUUAAAAUUCGUGAUAAAUUGAUAAAAAAAUCAAAUGUCGAGAACGAUAUUUAAAAUGUUAAGAAUACAAUUUCAAAAUGUAGAUUCUUGGUACUAAAUUUCAAAUUCAAAUGAGUGGACAUUUUUCAACUCAUACCCUUAAAAUUGAACAUUUUUAAAAAUGUCCAUAAUAUAAUUAACAUGAUGCAAAAUAGUAAUGAAAUUUGUUAACCAAUACUAUAUAUUUUUCUUACCCUACUCGUCGCCUAUUUAUAAUUUAACUUAACGUGAAACCUGUUAAGUACACAUGUAAUUAAGUUCUCUGCCAUUGCACUGAAAUUGUGAUUCACGAAUCUCUGUCCCUCCCGCAAUAAAAGUGGCCACUUAUGUUGGAAGAUUUUUUUCAGACACAACGUCAAAUUAUACUUCAAUUUUAGCAAUUGAGUGACAACAUGUGAACCGAUGAGCAAUAUAGAGGAAAAUACUUCAGAGAUCAAUUUAAAUACUAUUAGUGAAAUCAACUCGUAUCAAAUAUUUUUCAUUAGUCUCCAACUCAUUUUCAUUUAAAUUUGAAAUCUUUCAAAUAUCUUCGAUUUUUCCUCUAAUUCUGAAAGCGAAAAAAAUUUAAUUUUAAAAGAGGUGAUGUAAAAGGUUGGAGUUAUGUAGUCGUCUUUUCAUAUUGUGUUUGGCAUCAACAAAUUUAAGAGCAUGUUUGGUACAGUUUAAAAUUCAAUUAAAAUCAAUUUUUUUUAUCGUUAUUUCACUAUUUCGGCCAUCAUUUUUUAAUUCUUCUCUCACAAUUAGGACUCACUUUAUCUCUAACGAUCAAAAAAUCAAUUAACAAAAUUUCUACCAAACAAGCACUAAAGUUAGGCGGUUCUCUACGACUAUAGCACGUGGACCAAUGAUAUCGCGAGAUGACUUUACAUCACACUUAUGAAUUAUUAUUUGAAGGCAAAUUCUCUCUCUCUUUCACUUAAAGGUUGUCCAAUUUCAUUUUGAAAUAAGAAAUAGAUAUAUGGCUAUCUCUACAGACAUUUCUGAUGAAGAAAUUCAAUUGCUGAAUUCAAACGCUAGUGUUCAAGAUUGUGUAGAUUACAAGGGCCUUCCAUCCAAUCGAUUCAAUUCCGGUAGAUGGAGAUCAGCAUUUCUCAUCAUGGGUAAACAACUCCUCUUCUUUGAAGUUCUCGUCAGAUUGCAUUUAAAACUUAUUUUUUUCUUCAAUUCAUUAGAUACUGAUCUCCAUCCUUCACCACUCUUCUUGCUUGGCUAAACAUAGAAAUAAAUAAAUAAAUAUCCCUUUAAGCUCGACUAAACAUGUUGAUUAACUUACUUUUUCUUAUUUUUGAUAAAGAGUUUAUUUAUGUUUUAUGAUUACCUUCUUAGAAUUGUGCUAUUUUUGUAUUAUUUGGUAUCAUCUUUGAUGAAACUGUGUAUUAUAACAUCCGUGAUAUUGAUUAUUUUAAAUGUUAUUAAAAUCAAGGACAGAAAUGUUAGCCACCUCACACAAUGUCAAUCAAACGGUACAUAUAGCAAAAUUGACUUUCUUAUCUUAAAAUAUGACUUUCUUAUCGUAAAAUAUUACUUAUAGGUAAUCUUUUAAGCUCGAAGCAAAACAACAUCAUUUUUCUCCCUACUAAAAUACUCGGUGGAGUUUUUAAAUUGAGAGUUAAUUAUACUUUUUUAGUGUUCUGAAAAGUAGCGUCUAAGUGCUGCCUAGGCACAAAGUGGGUGCAAAAACGCCUAGUCUGACCUUUCUUUCUUUCUUUCUUUUUUUUUUUUUUUUUUUUUUGGCUCCUAGUCGUGCUUUUUAUGCCUUCUCUUAACUAAAUAAUUUUUAGAUUAAUUUAAAAAUCAAAAUAAUAUUGAAAUAAGAAUAACGUUGUCUUACGCUUAAGACGAAGCUCGACCUCCUUACUUCGUCAUGUUUUAUCAUUUUUAGAGCACUGCUCUUUCUUUUGUUUUUUUUUUUCCUCCGUCCUCUAAUUUUUUAUUUUUGGAAGGCAGUAGGCCGUAGGUGGGAGUUGGCACGUCACUGGUGGCAUUGGUUUAUGAUCAUGUUUUGCAAAAGAACAAUUAAAAAUGGGAAAAAUUUGUUCGUACAAAAUUUAUCCCACAAAACAAAUCCAGAAAACUCGGGUGAGUCCCAUGUGAAUUUUAUAUUGAAACAAUAUACUCACCCACCCCAUAUAUUGUGUGUGGUCUGUAAUUUGUCUGGCAAAAUACUUUCUAAGCAUGAAGUGCAACUCUUAAAAAUGACAUUUAACUUUUGAGAAGGGUCCCACAAAUUGUGUGAUGAUUAAUGCUAAUGUACGACCUGAGGAUAAAUCGACUAGAUAAUCAGUUGUGUUCAUCUAUCAGAGAAGACAAUCUUGGACCGGUGAGCUUUUGGGGAAGACGAACGGGACUUUUAGCUGGGAAAUGGGUUGGGUUUCAGUGUUUCUCAUCCACAAAACAAAUCCAAAAAAAGGACAAUAAACUGAAUUUCACGUCCGCUAAUUGUUUUAUCAUUUUACCCCAUAUUUUCUGUUUGUACAUGUAUCAUAAUUCAAUCUAGAAUCCUAACAACUAGCUUAUGAAGUUAAAUAAGUUGAGAAAUCCCAACUUAUAUUAAUUUAUAAAUUGUGGGACGCACAAUUUUGUGAAUUUUGGAUUACAUAAUUUAUACGUCCUCAACUUAGAACUUAAUAUCUUUUUUAACCAAAUAUUAUUUGUUAUGCGUUUUUUAGAUUCGAUUAAUGUUACAUAGUAUCACAAGAGCUUAGCAUCAAUUUAGUCUUGCAUUGCAUGUGUAUGGCUUUUGUAAAGUAACAAAUUGGAUCCUCUAUUACAUGACUUAGGUGGAAGGUAAAGAGUGAAGAUGACCUCCUAGCCAUUGGUCGGAAUGCCUGAGCCGUUGUUGUGAGAUUUGAGUAUACAUCUUGAUAUCUUAUUCAAUUUAACUUGUCAAAUAUUAUAUUUAUCGAACACUUGCUACCAGUUUUUUCUUUUAGAAUUUGAGAAUUUAUUUUUAUUUUAAUUAUCUUUUUUUGGUUAGCUGUUGAAGUGGCAGAGAGAUUUGCCUUUUAUGGGAUAACUUUGAAUCUGAUAACAUACUUGACUGGCCCAUUGGGCCAAUCAACUGCAAAUGGGGCUGCCAGCCUGAAUGUGUGGUAUGGAACGGCAUCGCUUUUGCCACUUUUGGGGGCUUUUGUGGCUGACUCAUAUAUAGGUCGAUGCCGCACUAUUAUAAUUGCUUCUGCGCUAUAAAUUUUGGUUAGUAAUUCUUCUUCUCCUCCUUAAUUUAUUUCUCUGUUAUGGAAAUUUAAGUAGAUAAUUAAUUUCGUGAAAUCAUUCAACUUGGGAAAUUAGGGUAGUCCUCGAAUAAAAAUGAACCCAUUCAAUUGUGCAUUUUUGUACUACUGCUUUUCUGUUUUGUGUAACGCUCUCAAUCAGUAGUUUUAAUCCAUAACAAUCUUAACUUGUUUUUCUUUCUUAAUAUUAACGAGUCCAUAAACUGAAUUGUACAGGAAUCAUAAUGACUUUUACUUUGGGCUCAAACGGUGAUAGGGACUUCGCCUCUUGACCAUUUCAGCUAUUUUGCCUUCUUUCUACUGUGUUACACUCAAAAUGCUGCCAAUGCCAAGGAAUCAUGUUCUUCCUGGCUCCAAAUUAUAAUCUUCUACUUGUCGUUGUAUCUGGUUGCUAUAGUGCAAGGCGGACACAAGCCUUGCAUUCAGGCAUUUGGGGCUGAUCAGUUUGAUUCUCGGAAUCCCGAAGAGUUAAAAGCCAAGAGUUCAUUCUUCCACUGGUGGUAUUUCACGAUAGUUGCAAUCAAUACUGUAACAAUCUCGAUUUUGAACUACAUUGAAGACAAUCUUUGAUGGUGUCUCGGGUGUGGAAUACCCUGCAUCGUCAUGAUCUUAGCAUUGAUAGUAUUUUUGCUUGGAACAAAAACUUACAGGUUUAACAGUAAAGGUUAUGACAAUAGCUUGUCUGUGAAAAUUGGGUUGGCGUUUUGUAACACAUUCAGAAAUCAGAGUAUUAGCACAUCAGUAGCUGAAUUCAAGUAAGGGAAACAACUAUCUUAAGUAGUUUGUCCACUAGAGAUAACACAUUUCUUGACUUAUUUUCUCCGUUUUCCUUCUUUGGCAGGUUGCUCGAUAAAGAGUCCCUUUCACCCCGUAGUUUGGACCAAGAUUUUUGUAGUACCAAUAAAGUUGGAGAGGACAAGGGAAUUCCCAGGCUCUUUCCAAUAUGGGCAACAUGUUUAGUAUUCGCCAUUGUGUAUGCUCAAGUAUUCACUUUAUUCACCGAGCAAGAAGUUACAAUGGACGAAUCCAUUGGUCCAAACUUUAAAGUGCCAGCUGCUUCAUUACUAGUUUUCAUCAGCCUCUCAACUGUUAUCUUAAUUCCUAUUUAUGAUCGCAUUCUGGUUCCUUUUGCACGAGCUAUAACUGGGAAGCCAUCAGGCAUAAUGAUGCUUCAAAGAAUUGGAACUGGGCUGGUUUUCUCUCCACUUUCUAUGGUUAUUGUUGCUGUUUUCGAGAUGAAGCAUCUUGAAACUGCUCAAAAAUAUGGCCUCGUCAAUAUGCUAGAGGCUAUAGUUCCCAUGAGCAUAUGGUGGUUAAUACCUCAAUAUUUGUUGUUCGGAAUAGCAGAAGUGUUCGCCUAUGUUGGCCUGCAAGAGUUCUUUUAUGAUAAGGUAGUGUUAAAAUGUAAAUUUCUCAUAUUUUUUUAUCUACUUAAAUCUGUGUAUUCUUUGUCUCUUGCCUGGAACUUAAUCGUGGAGGCUUGUUUAUAACAGGUACCAAGUGGAUUGAGAAGCACUGGUCUUGCUCUCUACUCUAGUAUUUUCGGCAUUGGGAGCUUCCUUAACAGCUGUCUUAUAUCUACCAUUGAGAAGGCGAGUGGUGGACGAGGGAGAAGCGGAUGGUUUUUAGACAACCUUAAUAGGGUUCAUUGAUAAGUGUGUUUUUGCACACUUAUUUUGGUCACAAACAUGACUUAAAAAUGAGCAAAAUGAUUGAAUUAUGACUUAAUCUCAUACAUUUGUGAAUUGUAGGGAACAACGAUGAACAUGGUAAAAUUCAGGAGAAAAGACACGAAAAAAGACAAAAGUGACGCAAAGUGAAAGGUCAGCGACCAAAAGUGCAAAUAUCCAAAAGUUGAUCCGAUGGACAAAUCUAGAAAUCGAUUUGGCCAAUUACCAAUUGACGAUAUCGUGGGUUGAUGAAAUGAAAAGAAUGAAGCGAGGAUGCCAAGAAGUGAAGGAUGCAAGUGGGAGGACCAAAAUGCACAUCCGUCAUAGUAGAAAGUACUAUGCGACCGCAUAGUACUAUCCUCUAUGUGGUCGCAUAGUAGCAUACUGAGAACAAAGAUACCCCAAAAUUUUACUCUAUGCGACCGUAUAGAGCAGCUAUCGAGGAAAAAUUUAGUUUCCUGUUUCUUUCGAAAUUUUUAUGGAAACAAUAUUUCUAGGAUCCUAUAAAUACAAAAACUCGACCAGAACGUGGGGGACUCCAUUUUUACAUGUUUUUGGGAGAUUUUGAAGGAGAAACGAAGAAUAGAACAAGAGAACAAUAUCGCGCCAAGUGAAGAUCGGAUUGAAGAUUGAUUCGAGUGAUUUUGUUUCUACAAAUGUUUUUAUGUUUUGUUCUUUUUAGCAUGUUAGGCUAGAUUUAUCACUGCUAGGAGAUCGAUGAACCUUGUAAUACUACGUUUAAUUGUUGUUUUGGAUUUUUGAUGUAUUUGAACACAAGUUCUGGAUUUGAUUGAUUUAUUUCAUUUUUAUUUUUAUAUGAUUAUUGUGUACGUAAUUAUAUGAUUGUGGUGGCCUGUUUUAUGCAUUCGAAAGAAGGAAAAUAGGUUCGACAUAGUAUAAAUCAUCAUAGGGUCCGAUAGGAGAUAGAAAUAUACCUUUAUGCCUUGUGUGAAUCAUUGGAUAUUCGUGAAUUUAUAAUGUAUGUCAGUAUGUUAGUAUUCGUCAAAGAAAUAUAGUCGAAUCAUAUAUUGGGAUAGAUUUGGCAUUGCUCGAGAGAGAUUGUUAAAUUAAAAUAGGAAUAUCGAUUCAUCUUUUGUGGAAUUGUGCGUCAAAUUUGCAUAAUUGACAAUUGGACGGGUAUUGUUGGGGGAUUUGUGAUCCUAGUGCGCUAGUACAUCCAUUAAUUCCAUAAAAUUCUAGUUAAAUUGCAUCCAAGUUAUUUUGCACUUGGUAUAAUUCUUCAUUCAUAAUUGCAUCAAUGGUUACAUUUUGUUAGUUAAAGUACAAAACCUCAAUUUGGUUGUCGUGUUUCGGUUAAGGUCGUACUAGAUUAAUUUGAACUAAUUCAAUCCUCGUGGGAUCGAUACUUGGACUCAUAGUCCAUUUUACUACUUGUUAACGAACCGUACACUUGCGGUGGAUUUUAAAUCGGAAUAAAUAAUUUCUUGAACAAGUUUUUAACGCUGUUGCCGGGGAUUGAAAUUUAGUUUUAAUUUUAUCUUUUGUGACACUAAUUCGAACUUAUCUAGAUUAGUAAUAGUUAGCUUACUAGGUUUAGUUUGUUAUUACUUCAAUUUAAUUUUGUGUUGAUUUUACAAUCUCAGAGCUUGUAUACAAGGAGCACCUGAUCAAGAUUUAGUUCCCAUAGAGCCAGAGAUCAAACGCACAUUCCGUCAUAGGCAAAGAGAAGUAAGAGCAGCACAACAAAUGGCUAACGAGCAAAAUCGACCGGUAAUUCCACUUAACGAAGGCAUGGCAGUUGAAGAUGAUGGGAAUACAGUACUCGGGGACUUCAUGGCUUUGUUGGUGGCCCAAAGUCAAUCUAUCAUUGUAUAUCCUCCAUUUGGGCAACCAAAUUUCCAGCUGAAAACAAAUGUGAUUCAACUCUUUCAGAAUGGGCAUAAUACCACAGGAUGGCUAGUGAAAAUCCGCAUACACACAUAUCCCGAUUUCUAGAUAUGUGCCAACACUUUAGGUAUCAAGAUAUCUCGGACGAUGCUAUAAGACUACGGUUGUUUCCACACACCUUGCGGGAUAAAGCACUUGAAUGGCUGGAUUCACUUCCCGUCGCAAGUAUCACCACUUGGAACGAGCUAGCCCACAAAUUUUGCACCAAAUUCUUCUCACUAGCUAAGGUAGCCAAAAUGCGGCAUGAUAUCUCUAUAUUUAACCAAUGUGAGUCCGAAUUAUUUGAAGAGGCAUGGAAUCAUUUCAAAAAUAUGUUAAGGAAGUGCCCGCAACAUGGCUUUGACAAGAAGACACAGAUCCGAUUUUUCUACACUGGACUACUUCCAUCCUUUAAGAGCAUGGUGGAUUCAUCAUCUAACGGGUCUAUCUCCACAAGAACAAUUGACGGAGCAUGGGAGCCAUUUGAGAAAAUGGUUACAACUUUAGCCAUGUCGUCCACAGAUUGAGUAGUUCAGAAGAGAUCGCUGGAGGUUUAUGAAGUAGAUACUUAUUUAGCACUGUCUGUAAAGAUAGACUCUUUGUUCCAUAAGGUUGAAAGCAUUUCACAAACUGCCACUGCUAAACAAGUCAAAAAGCCAAGUUAUGAAGAAUGUGGAGCAAACCACAAUACUUUUAAUUAUCCAAAUCUUGCACAGGGGGUCGAACAUGCAGAUUUUGUGCAAUGGGGUCAACGCCAACAGAACAAUCGACAUUCGGAAACCUUCAAUCAGGGCUGGAGAAAACACCCAAACUUCUCGUGGAGCAAUCAGAAUCAAAACAGACACAAGGUCAAUAUCAGCAGCAGGAUAAAAAGCCACCAUUGAAAGAGAUGUUUGAAAAGUUCAUGGUAACAACCAAUUAGUAUAUUGAAGCCAACAACCAGUUUAUGCGAAAGACAGAUGCAACUCUUCAAGAUCAAACUGCAGCCGUCAAAAAUUUGGAGGCACAAAUGGGCCAAAUGGCAAUCUCUAUGACGGGUAGAGCACCAGGAAUCAGCCUAGCAACACUGAAAUCAACCCUAAGGAGCACGCAAAAGCUAUAACAACUAGAAGUGGAGUACAACUACCAGAGAUACAUGUAAAAAGAUCGGUAGCUAACAAGGAAUCAGCAGCAAUCUCAGAUGACGAAAUUGUAGAACAGAUCGAACAAACAACAAGGGAUGUGGUCAAGAAGAAUUUCAAUACAUCACGGGGUACAGCUACCAUUCCUAUCAACCCUCAUCAGCCUCCUAUUCCAUUCCCGCAGAGGUUGAAAAAGCACAAAUUGGAUCAGCAAUAUAGUAAGUUUCUUGAAGUCUUCAAGAAACUACACAUCAACAUCAAAUUUGCUGAAGUACUUCUUCAGAUGCUGAGUUAUGCAAAAUUUCUGAAGGAUAUUCUCUCCAACAAGCGAAAGAUAGAAGAACAUGAAACAGUGAUGCUAAUUGAGGAAUGCAGCGCCAGAAUCCAGAAAAAGUUGCCUCCAAAACUAAAGGAUCCAGGGAGUUUUACUGUACCUUCACUAUUGGGAAUUGUCAUUUUUGAUAAAGCGUUGUGUGACUUAGGUGCAAGUAUUAAUUUAAUGCCUCUCUCUAUUUUCAAGAAACUCGGCUUGGGAGAAGCUAAAGCCACAAUAGUUACAUUACAGUUAGCAGAUCGAUCCCUUAUACAUCCAAGAGGGAUCAUUGAAGACGUAUUGGUAAAAGUGGAGAAGUUCAUAUUUCCAGCCGAUUUUCUUAUCUUGGAUAUGGAGGAAGAUAAGGAUGUUCCACAUAUAUUGGGGCGACCUUUCCUAUCUACUGGAAGAGUGAUUGUUGAUGUUCAGAAAGGGCAGCUUAUAUUGAAGCUUGGCGAAGAACAAGUCUUGUUCAACGUGUUCAAGGCAAUGAAAUUCCCUACUGAGUCAGACAGCUGUUUCCAGAUCGAUGUAAUUGACAGAAUAAUUCAAGAUACAUUCCAGCUACAUCAUCCUUCCGAUGCAUACGAGGCAUGCAUUACAUAUUCUCAAUCCACUCACACUGAUUCGAAUGAGAUUGAAACAUGUGCACGAAUUUUGGAAACUAAUAUGCCAUACAUGCACAGAUGUUACUUCGAAGAGCUAGGAACUAGGACUACAAAGUCAGUGUCAUCUAUUCAGCAACCUCCCAAAUUGGAACUCAAACAACUGUCACCACACCUUCGAUAUGCUUACCUGGGGAAAUCAUCUACACUUCCGGUUAUUAUUUCAAGUACUGUUAGUGAGGUGGAGGAAGAGAAACUACUUUGGGUGCUAAGGGAGAAUAAAACAACCAUUGGAUGGUCAAUUGCAGAUAUCAAGGGGAUCAACCCGUCGCUAUGCUUGCACAAAAUUCUCAUAGAGGAAAAAUUCAAACCAAGCAUUGAUGGACAGCGGAGAUUGAAUCCACACAUGAAGGAAGUGGUUAGGGCUGAGGUAUUGAAGUUGCUCGAUGCAGGCAUCAUCUAUCCAAUAUCAGAUAGUGCAUGGAUCAGUGCAGUACAAGUUGUUCCCAAGAAAGGGUGUAUCACAGUGAUAGAAAACGAGAAAAAUGAGUUGAUUCCUACACGGACAGUGACUGGAUGGAGAGUUUGCAUCAAUUAUCAUAAACUAAAUGCUGCUACUCGAAAGGAUCACUUCCCACUAGCGUUCAUUGAUCAGAUGUUGGAGAGACUAGUAGAGCAUUCACAUUACUAUUUUUUGGAUGGGUAUUCCAGGUAUAAUCAGAUUCCAGUAGCACCUGACGAUCAGGAGAAGACAACUACGGUACCUUUGCAUACCGUUUGGUUUAUGCAACGCUCCUGCAACUUUUCAGCGCUGCAUGAUGGCUAUCUUCUCAGAUAUGAUUGAGAAAUUCAUCGAGGUAUUCAUGGACGACUUCUCAGUGUUCGGGUCUUCGUUUGAUGAGUGCUUGGAGCGUUUGAGUCUUGUGCUACAACGGUGUAUGAAGAGUAACUUGGUAUUGAAUUGGGAGAAAUGCCACUUUAUGGUACAGGAAGGCGUCGUGCUAGGAUACAGAAUCUCAACAAAGGGUAUUGAAGUGGACAAAGCAAAGAUUCAGGUGAUCGAGAAAUUACCACCACCUAUAUCAGUGAAAGGUGUUUGUAGUUUUCUCGUGCAUGCCGAUUUCUACAGAAGGUUCAUCAAGGAUUUCUCAAAGAUUAAUAAACCAUUGUGCUAUUUGUUGAUGAAAGAAUCCACAUUUGAGUUCACGGAUGAGUGUCUGUUGGCUUUUAACACCUUGAAGGAGAAGUUGAUUUCAGCACCCGUGAUCCUCACAUCAGAUUAGAAUCUGCCAUUUGAAUUAAUGUGUGACGCCAGUGAUUUUGCUAUUAGGGCCGUCUUGGGACAAUAAAGAAAUAAGAUAUUUCUCGUGAUUUACUAUGCAAGUAAGAUCUUGAACGACGCUCAAUUGAAUUAUGCCACUACAGAGAAAGAGCUCCUAGCCGUUGUCUACACCUUUGACAAAUUUCGAUCAUAUCUUGUGAGGUCAAAGGUCAUAGUUUACACAGAUCACGCUGCCAUCAGGUACUUAAUGGAAAAGAAGGAUGCAAAGCCAUGUCUCAUUUGUUGGAUACUGUUUCUUCAAAAGUUUGACUUAGAAAUCAGGGAUAAGAAGGAUAGUGAAAACGUGGUGGCGGACCACUUAUCUCGAAUCGAGGCCACAGAACAGACAGAGACAGUGGAAAACAAUGAAGUCUUCCCAAAUGAACAGAUUUUUGGUAUAGUGGAGGCACCCUGUUAUGCGGAUAUAGUUAACUACUUAACCAUAUCUAUCAUGCCGCCUAAUUACUCCAGUCACCAGAAGAAGAAAUUUUUCUCUGAAUUGAAAUAUUAUUUUUGGGAGGAUCCCAUUCUAUACGGGCGGGGGGCUGAUCAAAUUGUUCGUCGCUGCGUACCUAAGGAAAAAGUGUCUUUGAUAUUAGAACAUUGUCAUUCAUCUACAUAUGUAGGGCAUUUUGAUGCUUCGAAAACAGCGGGGAAGAUCUUUCAAUCAGGUUUUUAUUGGCCUAUACUAUUUAAGGAUGCUUUUGAAUUCGUGAAGAGGUGUGACCUAUGUUAACGCACUGGUAAUAUAUCCAGGAGAAAUGAAAUGCCUUUGAACAGUAUCCUGGAGGUGGAACUAUUCGACGUCUGGGGGAUCGACUUCAUUGGGCCAUUUCCCCCAUCCUUCUCUAAUCAGUACAUAUUAGUGGCUGUGGAUUACGUAUCGAAGUGGGUAGAGGCCGUUGCACUACCUACCAAUGAUGGGAAGGUGGUGAUUGAGUUUCUAAAGAAACAUAUUUUUACCCGCUUUGGAACACGGAGGGCUAUAAUCAGUGACGGGGGCAAACAUUUCUGCAAUCGCCAGUUUGGACAAUUGUUGGCUAAAUAUGGCGUUAAACAUCAUGUAGCCACUGUAUAUCAUUCCCAAACCAGCGAACAGGCCGAAGUGUCCAAAGACAAUUGAAGCGAAUACUCGAAGUCACAGUAAGCUCGUCAUGAAAGGAUUGGUCUAAGAAACUGGACGACGCCUUGUGGGCCUAUAGGACUAUAUUCAAGACCCCUAUAGGAAUGUCACCAUAUUGAUUGGUUUUCGGGAAAGCAUGCCACUUACCUCUUGAGAUAGAACAUCAUGCUUACUGGGCAAUGAAGAAAUUGAAUUUGGAUUUGAAGGCUGCAGGUGAAAAACGUCUUCUACAACUUAAUGAGCUGGAUGAACUCAGAAUGGAAGCCUACGAGAAUUCAAGAAUCUACAAAGAGCGCACCAAGAAAUGGCAUGAUAUGCUCAUUCAGAGGCGUGAAUUUACGGUGGGGCAAAAAGUGCUACUCUACAACUCUAGGCUUAAGCUGUUUUUCAGGAAAGCUGUGAUCGAAAUGGUCUGGUCCAUAUACUAUUACACAGGUUUUUCCACAUGGGGUAGUUGAGAUCACUCACAACAGCAAGGGGACAUUCAAGGUUAAUAGACAGCGUUUGAAGCACUAUUGGGGUGGCGAUUUUUCAAAAGAAAAGUUUACCGUUCAUUUUAGACCACCAGAAUGACGCAAUACGGUAAAGUCGAGCUAUCGACUAUAAUCUAGCACUGUGUGGGAGGUAACCCAUUGUAUCCUUCUAUUAGCUUACUUUUCACAUUACUUUUAGAAUUAUUUUUAUUUUCGCAUUUGCAUUUCUCUAGGUCAUCGUUCAUACAUGCAUGUUCUAAGGAUCAGAUUAUCGUUCCCAUAAUUUUUCUAGGCAUUAUACACAUGGUCAGUAAGUUUGAAAUGAUUUUGGGUGUUUGGGAGUAGGGUUCACGCAUUUCUAGAUAAAAAAUUAUGAGGGAAAUAUCAUUAUGCUUUUCAGAAAGUUUUCUUUUUCAAAUAAAAAAAAUUUGUCUAUGCGAUCGCAUAGACACCUACCGAAAGUUAAAAGGGGGCAAAAUCCAUUACUAUGCGGCCGCAUAGUAGAGUUCGGUCAUGGGUUAAAACCAUGACCGGACCAUUUCCCUCCCCCAUUUUCCCUUAUUCCCUUAGCCAUCACACAACCACCUUCACACACGCCUCUCACAUACAUUACACGGUCAUUCUCCUCCCAUUGGCGUGCUACUUCAUUACUUCUCACUUCCAUUACGACUUCAAGGUAAUCUCUCUUUCCUUCUUCUCAAUAACUUUCUUUCAAUUUGUUUCGUAACGAAAUAAGCAUAUUUUGAGCUUGUUUGUGGAGUUUGGGCAAUAGGUAGUAGAUGAUUUUGUACAUUUUGCAUUUGGAUUGUGUUGUGAAUAGGAGGGACAUUAUCGAAUUGGUAUUUUAUAGGGUUUAUAAAGCUUGCAUGCUACAUGUUGAUGAAUUGCCUACCUGAAAUUUUUAGUACAUUUUGCGCAAUUCCGCAUUAGAUCUUUUGAAUAUGCGCAUUCUCAUAUAUGUGAUGCCUAAAUGCCAUCGAAAUUAAGCUCGAAACACUCGCAUACGAACCACACACAUUAAGGCACGUGUUAGGUUCACGUCACCUCAUCGUACCCACUUCGUCCCUUGCGUUAAGUACCCGUACGACGUCCAAUGAGCUUGAAAAUUGAAUAUGUGUCACUCCACACUACAUACUUUCAUAUGCUUGCAGUUGCUUGAGAAAACUUCAAAUUUUCUCGAUGAUGUCCAGGGGCGAACAUGCACACUUAAUCAUCAAGUUACUUGAUUUAUUUUGGUUGUUUGGACCUCCGUUUGUGUGUAACUUGUUAUUUUGCCUUCCUUCAACGUUCUUGAGCAUGUUUUCUUGACAUUUGCAUGAUACCACAUUCACAACCACCUGAAAGACCAUGUAUCACAUCACAUCCAACUUGCAACGCAUAAGCACAUGGCUAGGUCACGGCACCCUACGUCCCCUACUUUACUCCUUUUUAUGACAUACCAAAUGACGUCCAUUCGCUUUGAAAUUUGAAUAUAUGGUAGAUCUCAUUGAAUAAUCUCAUAUGCCCGGAGCUUGCCCAAGGAAAUUUCGAUAUUUUUCGACGAUGUUCGAGGCCGAACAUGCGCACUCGGUCAUAGGUCCAAUUUUUUUCAAAUGUGCUUAUUUUGGCCUAAAUUUCCAAUUUUUCACCUUGGCAUUCUCUUUAUACUACCCUCUUUGUCAUAUUUUGAUAAGUGCACGCCAAGGUGUUCUCUAUGCAUGUUGAAGCAAGUUUGGAGGAUUUGUGAACUAUUUGUCUCGCUUAUCUCAUUCCCCCUAUCGUUUUUUUUUNNNNNNNNNNNNNNNNNNNNNNNNNNNNNNNNNNNNNNNNNNNNNNNNNNNNNNNNNNNNNNNNNNNNNNNNNNNNNNNNNNNNNNNNNNNNNNNNNNNNNNNNNNNNNNNNNNNNNNNNNNNNNNNNNNNNNNNNNNNNNNNNNNNNNNNNNNNNNNNNNNNNNNNNNNNNNNNNNNNNNNNNNNNNNNNNNNNNNNNNNNNNNNNNNNNNNNNNNNNNNNNNNNNNNNNNNNNNNNNNNNNNNNNNNNNNNNNNNNNNNNNNNNNNNNNNNNNNNNNNNNNNNNNNNNNNNNNNNNNNNNNNNNNNNNNNNNNNNNNNNNNNNNNNNNNNNNNNNNNNNNNNNNNNNNNNNNNNNNNNNNNNNNNNNNNNNNNNNNNNNNNNNNNNNNNNNNNNNNNNNNNNNNNNNNNNNNNNNNNNNNNNNNNNNNNNNNNNNNNNNNNNNNNNNNNNNNNNNNNNNNNNNNNNNNNNNNNNNNNNNNNNNNNNNNNNNNNNNNNNNNNNNNNNNNNNNNNNNNNNNNNNNNNNNNNNNNNNNNNNNNNNNNNNNNNNNNNNNNNNNNNNNNNNNNNNNNNNNNNNNNNNNNNNNNNNNNNNNNNNNNNNNNNNNNNNNNNNNNNNNNNNNNNNNNNNNNNNNNNNNNNNNNNNNNNNNNNNNNNNNNNNNNNNNNNNNNNNNNNNNNNNNNNNNNNNNNNNCUGCAAGGGUUUAAAACCUGGUGCCCUAAAGCCAACUGGUUUGGGAGUCACCGGUCUAAAGCUGGUUACAUGAGUUAUAUAGAAAAGCAAAUGAGAAGAUGACAAUCAAUCAGAAAUUAAAGAAAGUUGAGAAAAAUAAAAGAGAGACAACACAUGACGAGAAGCCCUUAGACAUUUGGUUGAAGAGACUGUACCUCUGAGGCGAGACAAGUAAUCUAGUUUGAUCUUGAGUGUCAAUGCAAUCAAAUCUAGGAGAGCCUUCACUUUUUGAAAUGUAGACUUGUGAUAGUAAUGCUAAAUCCGAACUACGAGAGGGUGAGGACUACAACUAUAUAAAUUCCUAAUCUUAAAACACAACCCUGGGAUAAUUGAGUGAAAAGAAUAAGUUUGGGGGGUUGUGUAUCUCUCGAGCGAGUAAGGAUAUAUUUGACCACUUGAGGUCGGGACUCAAAUUCAUCAUAAACCUGAUAUGUUUGCAUGAAUUCACACACGCACGUCAAUUUGCAUUAAACAGGUAAAGGUUUAUGUCAUGUUUGCACAGAUAAAUUUUUAAAUACUAAGUCCAAUCCUCAGCCACAACAGGGUAUUAAGCCAUGUUUGUUUAGAAUUAAGUCACUAUCUUGUUUGAGGAUAAACAAUAGUUCAAGUUUGGGGGGUUUGAUAAGUGUGUUUUUGCACACUUAUUUAGGUCACAAACAUGACUUAAAAACGAGCAAAAUGAUUGAAUUGUGACUUAAUCUCGUACAUUUGUGAAUUGUAGGGAACAACGGUGAACAUGGUGAAAUUCAGGAGAAAAGACGCGAAAAGGACUAAAGUGACGCAAAGUGAAAGUUCAGGGACCAAAAGUGCAAAUAUCCAAAAGUUGAUCCGAUGAACAAAUCGAGAAAUCGAUUUGGCCAAUUACCAAUUGACAAUAUCGUGGGUUGAUGAAAUGAAAAGAAUGAAGCAAGGAUGCCAAGAAGUGAAGGAUGCAAGUGGGAGGAUCAAAACGCACAUCUAUCAUAGUAGAUAGUACUAUGCGACCGCAUAGUACUAUCCUCUAUGCAGUCACAUAGUAGCAUACCGAAAACAAAGAUGCCCCAAAAUUUUACUCUAUGAGACCGCAUAGAGCAAUUAUCAAGGAAAAAUUUAGUUUCUUUUUUCUUCCGAAACUCUUAUGGAAACAAUAGUUUUAGGGUCCUAUAAAUACAAAAACUCGACCAGAACGUGGGGGACGCCAUUUUUACAUGUUUUUGGGAGAUUUUGAAGGAAGAACGAAGGAUAGAACAAGAGAACAACAUCGCGCCAAGUGAAGAUUGGAUUGAAGAUUGAUUCGGGUGAUGUCGUUUCUUCAAAUGUUUUUAUGUUUUGUUCUUUUUAGCAUGUUAGGCUAGAUUUAUCACUGCUAGGAGAUCGAUGAACCUUGUAAUACUACGUUUAAUUGUUGUUUUGGAUUUUUCACUUAUUUGAACACAAGUUCUGGAUUUGAUUGAUUUAUUUCAUUUUUAUUUUCAUAUGAUUAUUGUGCACGUAAUUAUAUGAUUGUGGUGGCCUGUUUUAUGCAUUCGAAAGAAGGAAAAUAGGUUCGACAUAAUAUAAAUCAUCAUAGGGUCCGAUAGGGAAUAGAAAUAUACCUCUAUGCCUUGUGUGAAUCAUUGGAUAUUCGUGAAUUUAUAAUGCAUGUCAGUAUGUUAGUAUUCGUCAAAGAAAUAUAGUCGAAUCAUAUAUUGGGAUAGAUUUGACAUUGCUAGAGAGAGAUUGCUAAAUUAAAAUAGGAAUAUCGAUUCAUCUUUUGUGGAAUUGUGCGUCAAAUUUGCAUAAUUGACAAUUGGACGGGUAUUGUUUGGGGAUUUGUGAUCCUAGUGCGCUAGUACAUCCAUUAAUUCCAUAAAAUUCUAGUUAAAUUGCAUCCAAGUUAUUUUGCACUUAGUAUAAUUCUUCAUUCAUAAUUGCAUGAACGGUUACAUUUUGUUACUUAAAGUACAAAACCUCAAUUUGGUUGUCGUGUUUCGGUUAAGGUCGUACUAGAUUAAUUUGAACUAAUUCAAUCCUUGUGGGAUCGAUACUUUAACUCAUAGUUCAUUUUACUACUUGUUAACGAACCGUACACUUGCUGUAGAUUUUAAAUCGGAAUAAAUAAUUUCUUGAACAUUCAUCUCAAUUACUUCUAUUGGUUACUUGCUGCACUUAGCAUGGUAACAUUCAUAGCAUUUCUGCACUUUACAAGAUCUUAUAAUAACAAUCAUAGGAAUGCCCUUCGAUUAAGUGGGACAAGAGCCUUGCAUGGUGGCAUUUCCAAUAAACCGUUGAGUAAAAGUUUUACGUGUUAAAUUUUCCAUGAAAAAUUAAUCCUUCACUGAUCGCAACUUGUAGAAAUUUUUUAUCGAUAAUCAUCUGAGGAGGUUCUUGCAUCAGCAUCAAAAGAUCUGCUUAUUUUCUUGAUGCUGGACCUAGUUCUUUUCAUCCUCUUUGAUUCCAAUAAUGAAAUAGAGUUGCCAUACCCUCUACAACUAUUGCUACACGUAAACCAACCUUAUUCUCCAUGUCGUUAGCAUCAAUAUUAUGCUAAGCUUAGUAAUAUAGGGUAUUUCUGUAAGUGUUAUGCCCUAUGUCCAAUCAACUUUGGACAUAAAUACUUUUAAUAUAUAAUUAAUGCAAUUUAAUGGAAGAUCUAUUAUUUAAUUAAUAGACAAUUAAAUUAAGCCCUUGUUUGAUUCCCAUUCUUUGGGAAAAAAAUUGAAUUCUUCUACAGUGUUUUGAUAUCAUUUCAACCACACAUUUUUCAAUAAAAUAAUAUUACACGUAAAUCCAAAAAUUUUCAUUAUUUUUUAACCAUAGAUUUUUCAUCAAUACACUAUUCAAAAAUUCAUUUUCCCCUUAAAAUGAGGCUCAAACAAGGGCUAAAUAAUAGAGUCCGUAGAUUCAAAUUUUCGUAAUUUGUUAAUCACAAUGAAUUGUGAUUGUGAGAUACAAAUUACAUCAUAUUGACGAAGGUUUUCAACUUAUAUUGACUUAAUAGUGGAGUAAAAUAUAUGAUCGAUAAUCGAGAUUGACACACUUCCUUAUCUUAUAAUUGAUCGAAUCAUAUUGAUGAAGAAAUUAUUAUUUUAGGGUAAAUGAACAAGUUUGGUUUUGUCAUACCACGUGACAUUUUUCGUCUCAUGUAUUGCUCUGAUACAUUGUUAGAUGUCAAUUUGGGAUGGUGAGUGUGAAUUGAUGAUAAAUUAAAAGGGUAUUUUAAUUUAUCAAUUUUGACUAGAUCAAAAUAAUAUUUCACGUCAUUAGGCAUCGUGAUCGGGAACCUGAUGGGUCGCACGCAAAAGAGAAUUGAAAAAUUACAAUUUGUCAAUUAGUUAAUUUAACAAUCGUUGGAUAAAUUAAUUAAUUAGAUUGGUUAUUUAGAGGCCCUAAUUAAUUGAUUUGAUUAAUUAGUUCACAAACCAAAUUUAAUUAAAUUGAUUAAUUAAAUAUUGGACCGGGUCUUGCCAAGCUCAUUUGGGCUUAUAUGAAUAACUAAUUAGGGUUUACAAUUUUGUAGACAAUUCAUUAUUUUUGCUAGUACAAGAAGAAAAUCAUAAUCCUACAAUCUUGUUCUCUAUAUAGAUUACCAUUAGAGGUUGGACAAUUGGACAGCUAUGUGAGGCAGAUCAAGGUUACUGGAACAAAGAAAAGGCAAAAAGUUUGCAGAUCUCGAAAAAAGGUACAAUCACUUUUAUCAUAAAAUUCUACCUCAAAGAGAUCCUUGGUGGAAAUUGAAAAAUUAUUUUAUUUUCACUGCGCAUGAUAAGUAGAUUCCCAACAGUGGCAUCAAAACAUACUUUAUGUUUGUUAGAAAUUGUCUAGAAUAUGUGAAUAAUCAAAAGUUGAUUGUUAAUUUCUAGUUUCUAACAAUUAGAAAAUUAUAUCUUCAAAAUGGUUUUGAACAGAAAAUAAUUUUUGGAUUGGAAUACUAAAAAUAAAAAAAAAAAUAAAAGAAAAGGAAGGUGAGAAUAGGGACUGGCCGGCUAGCGUGAGCAGCAGCAUUUGGUGUGCCAUAUGGCGCACCACAUUCUUGUGCCGACUGCUGGAGGCUGGAGAGAGAAAUGUGCCGGUCAUCGCCGGUGUCGCCAAGAAGAAGAGAAGCAUUUUAGGGUUCAAUUGGGUGAAGAUUUAGGGCUUCUGUUGAUUUUUUGGAGACGAGGGCCUCGAUUGCAAUUAGUGAUAUUAAGGCCGCCUGUUACAAUUAUGAUAAUGGGUAUAUUUGCAAAUUUUAAACGGACGGCAUGUCGGUAAUUAUUGAAUUGGAAGUCCCCAUUUUUAAUUUUGAAAUCAGGUUGAAUUGCAAUUUUCUAAAGGAUUUUGAUUGCAAUUUUAAAAUGGUUUUUAAAAUUGAACUUCAAGAGUAUUUGACCCAAAAUAUUAAUUUUGACCCGAUUAAAGUUUUAUUUGAAAUUGGCGGCUUUUUAUAUUUUCGUUAAAAUUAGAUUUUAACUUAAAUAUUAUCAUUUGACCCCAAAUUGAAUUUUAUUUUAUUUGGGAGUUAUAUUCUAAUUUAAAAUAUUAACUCAAUUUAAAUUAGAGUUGGACUCUAAUUUAAUACUUAAUUAAAAUUUGACUUUAAUUAAUUAUUCAUCCAAAUAUGUUAUUGAAGUUAGAAUUUGAUUCUAAUUUGACAUUUAAUUAAAAUUUGAUUUAAUUAAAUUAUCAUGCCCUAAAAUUUUAUUUAAAAUUAGAAUUAUAUUCUAAUUUGAUGUUUAAUUAAAAUUUGAUUUUAAGUAAACAAGUUCGCCCUAAAAUAAUGGAAUUAGAGUUGGACUCUAAUUUUGUUAUUUAAUAAAAAUUUGAUUUUAAAUUAAAUUGAACUGCCUUACCUUUUGAAAUUAGAGUUGAUCUCUAAUUUGGUAUUUAAUUAAAAUUUGAUUUUAAUUAAAUCGUCCUGCCCUAUAAUUGUAGAAUUAGAAUUGGAAUCUAAUUCGGUAUUGAAUUAAAAUUUGAUUUUAAUUAAAUAUGCUCGCUAAUUAAAUGAAUUGAUUUAUAUCAUUAAUUAAUUAUUUAAUUGUUCCAAUCCAUUUUGUCUAAAAUAGUUUAGACAACUUAGUUGCUAAAAACUUGAAGCGUGUUUGCAUAUAAAGUUAAAUAUUAUAUAGGCAUACAUUUAUGUGAUAAAUGCAUUAUUAUAGGAUGAUUAUAGACUCGACCAUGUGGAUGUGUUGAAUGAUUUUUAUUGUUGUUUUUUUGUGAGCAUGCGAGCUCUUAAUUGUUUUGGACUUACGAGUCUGUUAUUAUUAUUAUUGUGGGCCUAUGAGCUCUUAAUCAUUUUGAACCUGCGAGUCUGUUAUUGUUAUCAUUACUAUGGGCUUGAAAGUCCAAAUUUCAUUUAGGCCUGCAUGCUAACUAGUUUAGGAUACAUAUUGCAACUAGACUAAUUGAAGAAACAAGAAGAAGAGGAGACCAUAGAAAUAGUGCAUUGAUAUUGAUUCAAUGCUAUAGCUCCUAAGAAUUGAUCAACUAAUCUUCCUUAUGGCUCGAGAAGACUAGAUAGUAAAAGUUCAUAAUUGUCCACACUAUUAUAUUAUGUUAUAUAUAUGUUUAUUUGCCUGAAAAAUGUAAAAUAAAAUAUAUAUGAUUGUUACGAUGAGACCUUUGAACACAAAGUCCAUCAAUAAAAUAUUAAAUCAUGUUUAUAAUCGUCUUCCAUCAUUAUAGUGAAAAAUCAGAGUUUCAAGUCGUUUCAACUUAUUAAGUACACUCAAGGUUGGUCUAUUAGGGAUAUAUUUGACACUAUAAAAUAUUAGAUAUAUCUGAAUGAUGGGUUCGACUUGAUUAAAAUUUAUCUUUUGUUGAGUACACUCAAGGAGAUAAAUUUUAGCGGCAUGUUAAGCUAACACAUAAGAUGUGUGAAGAUAAGGAAUUGUCAGCUUAAUGAUCUAAAAGUUAUAUGGAGAUACAAUUGAUAAUAAUAUCUACCCAAAUAUUAUAUUAAGGCUUGUUGAGUACACUCAAGGUCCUAGUAUAACAGAUGGGAUCUCAGCCCAUUGGGAGUCAAGUAUGGACUCCAUAAAUUUAUGCGAGAUAGUCAUAAAUUUGAGUUAAACAGUGGGAGCAUAAUUAAUUUUAUAAAAGUCCAUGUUAAAUUAAUUGAUGUUUUUUGUAUAUUAUUCUUUUUUUUUCGUCAUUUAUAUUUAUUGAAUCGUAAGUAACCAUGUGUAUUUGGGUGGCAUAUUGGAUGCCAACAAUCAAACCAAAUUAAAUCUUCUUGAUUGGCAUAACAAUUUGAGAAUUUUUCUCAGACAUGAGAAAAUUGGUUGUCCUUAAGUAGCCCUUUUAGGAUAUAUCUGGUGAUAACUCAAUUGAGGAAAAAGUGGCUACUAUAAUAAUACAGUGAUGACAAUAAUAGUGCAACAUGUGUGAUGUUUGCAUUACCUCAUCUGAGUUACAAAAGCAACUUAAGAGUAUAUAUGAUAACACAUGAUUUUUCAUUUCAAAGAGUUGUAUGAUAAUAAUCAUGUAUGUAAAGAUAUGAGACUUCCAAGCAACUAUACCGAUGCGAAAUGACAGAGGAAACUUCAAUCAGUGCUCAGGUACUAAAGAUGAGUGAUAUUGAGAAAUGUCUCUGUUGAGUUCAAUCAUAAACCAUGAACUAAGUAAUGACUUGGUUCUUCAAUCUAUGUCAGAUAAAGCUAUUCACAACUAAUUAUAAAUUUAACGUAAAUAAGUUUGAAUGCUCAAUUAUUGAGUUGCUUAACAUGAUUAAGACUGUUAAGCCCAACUAAUUAUGAAAAAAGGGUUUUCGACUUAUAUUAACUUAUUUGUGGAGUGAAAGAUUUGAUCGAUAAUCGAGAUUGACAUACAUCCAUAUCUCGUAAUUGAUCGGAUCAUAUUGACGAAGGGAUUAUAGUUUCACGAUAAACGAACGAGUUUGAUUUUGUCAUACCACGUGACAUUUUCCCGUCACACGUACUACCCUGACACAUUGUUAGAUGUCAAUCUGGGAUGACGAGUGUGAAUUGGUGAUAAAUUAAAAAGGUGUUUUAAUUUAUCAAUUUUGACUAGAUCAAAAUAAUAUUUCACGUCGUUAGGCAUCGUGAUCAGGAACAUGAUGGAUCACACACAAAAGAGAAUUGGAAGAUUGCAGUUUGUCAAUUAAUUAAUUUAACUAGUUAUUUAUAGGUCUAAAUUAAUUAAUUGGAUUAAUUAAUUCACGGACCGAAUUUAAUUAAAUUGUUUAAUUAAAUAUUUGACCGGGUCAGGUCAAAUCCGUUUGAGCUUAUAUAAAUAACUGGUUAGGGUUUACAAUUUUGUAAAGAAUUCAUUAUUUUUGCUAGCACAAGAAGAAAACACUAAUCCUACAAUCUUGUUCUCUGUGUGGAUCAUCGUUGGAAGUUGGACAAUUGGAUAACUGUGGAAGACAGAUCAAGGUUGCUGGAACCAAAAAAAAUAAUAAUAAUAAAAAAAUAAAAAAUAAAAAAAGGCAAAAAGUUUGCAGAUUUCAAAAAAUGUAUAAUCACUUUUAUCACAAUUUCUAUCGAAACACAAAGAGAUUCUUGGUGGAAAUUAAAAAAUUAUUUUAUUUUUUCGCUGCGCAUAAUAAGUACAUUUCCAACAAUUCCAUACAUCAAAUUUAGAACGAUCAGAGUUUGAAGGUUUUGGCAGACAAAUCAUCUCAGCAAAUAUCUAUGGGAACAUCACUAAACCACAUUAUUUUGUGUGGAAAUCUUCAUUAUCUUGCAUCAACAUCUCAUCUUUGCAUUCCGGACUGUACAAUUCUGACCAGGUUGAAGUAUAAAUUCACAUUUGCUGUUACGAAGCAAAAAAGCAUCAUUAGAGACAGAAUAAAGUGGUAAAUUGUCUUUAAACCAUUUGACGAGCUUGUCUAAAUAGGUUAAAAUGAUCAACACUCCCAAGAGAAACAAGAUAGAAACAAGAUGUGGGGGAAGAAUUAAAAGAGUACAAACAAGCGAGAAUAGACAUCAUGAUCCUUAAGACAUAAGUAUGUUUGAAUAAAACUAAAUGCGAAGCCAUCAUGCACUCACUAACUACGAAUAAUGUAAACUACUCGAAGAGACAUUGCCGCUAAAUCUCCAAAAGAGAUAUUCAUUAGCUCGAUUUUAAGAAGUUACAAAAUUCUGACUCGUGAUAUUAGGAUAACAAUUUUUUCCCAUGUUAAAUUUGUUUCAAUAGAAUCAACGAAAAAUCUCGAAAAAUCUCAAAAAAUCUAUCGCUCAAAUUCAAGCGGUUUGUUUUGAUGGUUGAGGUUUAUUUAGGACAUGGUGUGGCUACUCAAGUGCAAUGUUGAAUUCAUUUUCGGAUUCUGUGCCUGCAAUAUGUCUCCACUCAGAAGAAAUAGAAAUGCUAGUCCAAAUGAGACUGAAACUUUUUGGAAGUGAAGAUGAAAUUUGAAACAACAUAGAAACAAUCCAAGUUCUUAUACGACAUGAAAUAUAUAGGAUACAAAUUCAUCUUGGUAUUGGAACAAUUUCAGCAAUCAAUGGUCUCAAUUGACUAUGAAUUUGCAAAAACACUUGGGGCUGCAGAAUGAAUUAGUUUUGAAUAGUUUCGGAGCUAGCUUGGUUCGUUUUAUAAUGGGAUUAUAAACAUCUAACCUUGAAUACAUUUUUUCAAAAAUAAAUAUGUUCAAUGUUUAGAGUCGAAUUAUAUAUGUAUUUUUUUAGACAUGAUAAAAUAAUUUCAUACCAUGCACAAUAACGAUUGUUGUUAGUGAUCAUCAUUGGUACUUUGAUUGCUAAUUAUCGAUGAAGAAUCUUUUCGUUUUUUAAUGUUUUGAAAAUUGAACUUUGAGCCACGUCACGUGGAUUCAGUCUAACUUUAUAAUGUUGUUGAAACAUAACUAUUUUAUGUUAAAAUGCUCUUUGUCCAUCACUUAUUAGAAGAAUUGGACGAUAAUCUGUGUCACAUUUAAAUUCUAUAUGCUAUGUGAUUGUUUUUUCUAAGCGAAUAUUGACGAGUGACAGACGAAAACUAAUUUUUGAAAGUUGAGUGAUGAUCGAGAAAUUUUUUGAAGUCUAAUGAUUACUUGGUAAUCUUUGAAAUUGAAAUUAUCAAUUAAUUCUUUAAUAACUUCUCAUUUUAUUUUUAAUCCCUCGCUCACAUUUUCACACUGAAAUGCAUGUCCACGCGCAUUCCCGCCAAGUCCUAUAGAGCAAACGCGUCUUCUCCGUGCGAGAGAGCGAGGGAGAGUGAACUUUGUUAGGGGCUAGAGGGAUUUUCAAUGGGUUCACCGAAGAAGAGGAGAGGCAAGAAUAAAAGGGCUGAAACCGAAAUCCCAGUUGAAGAUGAUAAUAAUUUUGAUAAUUAUCGCACUUUCGAGACUCUCCUUAGAGCAAUUCAAUCCCCUCAGGUUCAAAUUUUUCUCUUUGAUUUGCAAUCAUUCUUCUGAAUCAAACUCUUAUUUCUCUCUCUUUUUUUUUUUUUUGCCUAUAAUUUAAUUGUGUGUUUAUGUAUUACUUGAAUGAAUUGUUUGCCGACUUAGAAUUUCACGAGGGCACAUUUGAUAAUUAGUUCUGUAACUAUUAUUAUUAUUAUUAUUAUUAUUGUUAUUUUAUUUUAUUUUUUUCCAAAAAAGUUGAGAGCUUUGAAAAAAUUGGGAAGGAAUUAUGUUUUUAUGACUGUAAAUUUACAUUUUUUGAUAGAAGAUAAAGGAAAUAAUGUUUCCAUUAUAGUAUUACUUUGCAUUUUGGAAGCGAACUGAGAUUCGUUGUUGCUUCCCUACUGGAGCUUGGGCUAUGUCGUAGUCCUUUUGUGGCGUUAAGUUUUCUUUUUUUCGUUUCUGUUGUUUUUCUUUGGGUUUGAAGCAGGAGUUCAUUAAGAUGACUUUAAUUAGAGUGCAACAAUUUGGUCUACGUUGAAAGCACCACGUUAAAUGCUAGGACAUUGACUUCUAAAAAAGAUAUCACAAGAUACAUAUAUAUCUUUCAGUCUCCCCCCCUAUUGAUCUUUAGAAAUCGGUUAAUUCUUUGCUAUAUUUUGUCACGAUACUGGUGCAUUUAUUUUCUGAUUUAUUAUAUUAUAUAAAAGAGGACUCGAUAUUUCAGGGGAUAAAACCGCCGGUCUUGAAGAGUUUGUAUCUUCUGCUUGUUCAUUUGUCUUCAAACCCACAAUGGAGUGUCAAAUGUGCAGUUGGUUUGAAUGAAUAUGACCUGGAAAUUUACAAUGAAGGGAUCAAAGUGGCAUUCGGAGAUGUAUGUAGACUCUCCGAUGUACUAUUUAAAGAGAUAACUGAGAGGUAUAAGCACUUCUUAGCUUUAUGUGAAAACCUUGCAAGUAAGAAUUUCGAAGAAGUUAGCUCCCACUCGGAUUUGUUGGACGCCGCUGAAAUAGUGAAUUUGCUGUUGAGAUGUUGCAUAGUACUGUUGAUUCUGCUUGCAGCCCAACAAAAUCUUUUUCUGGAGAAAGGUCUCAUUCUGUUAAGGAUACUCAGACAAUUGAGUUUACCAAAUUCACUUGUGACAAAGGGGAAAAGUGCAUUUAACUUUGAGAAGUCAGUUUCUCAUCAGUGUGCUCGCGGUGAAAGUGACUGCAAAACAUCCUAUGCUGAAGACUUUACUGCCUCCUUUCACAUUUUAGAACCAUCUAAUCUUUACCUCUUUUUCCAAUCAGCAAUGCUGGAGGUAAUUUGAUAGUCCACUUUUUUAUGUUAUUGACUUAUCUAUGACUUGCAAUAGGGGAGUAUCAGAAAUUUCACGCUCAUUGUUUUGCACUAAUUGAAACCUUUGGAAUUUUGCAUUCAUUGUUUCAAUACUCAUUUGGAGAAAUGUUAAACUUGAAUUCAAAGAGACAUCUCGUUGGUAACUAUCCUAAUAGAUCAGCAAUCUAGAUAAUUUGAAAAAAUGGUGAAGGCAUAUAAUUUUUGGUUUAAUUAGUUGUAAUAAAUUAUUUUUUGUAACAUUCUACAAAAAAUUAGUUUUUGUAACGUUCUAUGCUUGUGGCCUUUUCACUCACUCUCUCUCUCUCUCUGCUCCUCCCUCCCUCCUGAAGCAUCUAAUUAAUCAUCCUAAUUAAUCAGUAUGGAUAGGAAGAACUUUGAGGCUUUUAUUGGAUGUUGAAAAGAAAGAGAGAAAAACUUUUGUCUAUCUCCAGGAAGGAUUUUGUAUAUUCACAUUGGGUUCUCUGUGAUGAUUAUGUAGUUGUAUUUCUACCUUUCUGUUACAGGAAGCUGCAGUUUCUUUCACAGAAUUAUCUUCUCAAAGAUAGUUACACAAGCUUGAGAACUUCUUCUCUAUGCUUUCCUGUGUGAUUUCAAAUGUUUGGUAGCCUUGGCCCUUGUUUUCAUAUUUUUAAGCAUAUCACAUUUGUUUCUUGAUAUUUGUAAUUUUAGUUAUAUCGUUAAGAAUAUUUCUGGAGUUCUCUUAUAUAUAUAUUUCUGGAGUUCUCCCCAUGUAAUUUGUAAAUUUCAUUUGCACAGGUAUUUCUAGACGAGCUUUUGAUUCAUGAGCAAAUAAGAGGGUACUUUAAGCUGAUUGAUUCUGUUGCUUCUAUUGGAGAAAAGCUGCUUAUUUGUCAUUCUACCCAGGGGGGUAUUGGGUUUGUAAUGGAAGUGAUUUGUACUCAUUUUUUAAAAUCAUUUUCUGAUGAGCUUGCAUUUGAAGAUUUUCUCGUCCGAUUAUUUGUCAUACAUGCUAAGGAACUUAGAUAUUCGUACAGAGCUCCAGAAAUAAGUCUGGUUACUGCAGUAUCAUUACUUCUCGAUCCUAUUAUGGUUUCUGCUCCAAAAUAUAUGCAAGCACAUCUGAUCUCUUUGGUUUCUGAAGCUAAUUAUAUGAUAGACAUAGAGAGCCCGAAACCAGAUCGUAAACUUUUGAACUGCUUCCUGUCAGUUUUUGAAAAAUCAGUCAUUUUGUACAUGAAGCACAUGUCUAGUUUGGAAAUAGAUGGCUAUUCUCAAAGUGGUGUAGGUUGUGAUAAAUCAAAUAUAUCGGAUGAAAGACUUCAUCCGUUGUUUGAAUCCUAUAUAUCGCCUGAGACAAAGCAGAAGAUCGAUACUCUAAUAUCCAGAUUAGAUGAUUCAUUGCUUCCAAAAUUGCAUGGCAUUUUCAUUAAAAUGAAAUCUGAUCUUGUAAGUUCUGCCAUGAAAUUUGUGAAGGAGAUGCAAACUGUUUUUGAGGUACCAUGUCAAGAUGAUAUUUUAGCUAUCUUAAGUGGCUUAAUUCUCAGAGCUUCUGAUAGCUUCAAUGACACUGCAAUACAUUCAAUUGAGGGUACAAGUCUGCAGGAUGUAUAUCUUCUUGCUUCCUUAUUGAAGUUAAUGAGCACUUCAUUGAGGCAAGCCGUACGGUGUCUCAGACAAGGUGAUGAUUUAUGUUGCGUGAAAACCUUGAAAGAUUUUUCUUCAUGUAAGGAGUAUGAUUUCAUUAUGGGUAUAAUCACUACUUUCAGAAACUUUGGCAUUCAGUUACCCACCCAACAAGUUCUAUUCGAUGAGAUGUCGAGCCAUGUUACAAGGCAUACAGUUUCUAAAAUGAUGUUUUUGCAUUUUUCUGGCUUGAUGUCAUUGAGCUUUGUUAGUGGGCUUGAUUGUUUAGUUAAGGGCUGCUUGUUGACAAUUAUUGCCAUAUUGAAUUUAUUUGUUUUCGAAGAGGGUAAUUUAGAUGCAUUUCGGUCAGUGGUUGAUUCCAAUAAAGAAUCCUUUUCAUCUGGAUUGCUCCAUGUCAAAUUCCAGGAGGUAAUGUUCUCCUUUUUCCACCUCCACUCAAUUUUCAUAAAGGGUUCUCUGUUUCAGCAUGUAUAACUUUUUGUAAAUGAUGCAGACUGUAGUGGACCAAAACUCUAGCCUAGUGGUUGCAUCAAAAUUUCAGAAGAUAAGGACCCUGUAUUUGAGGUAAUUAAUGCUAUGCAUGCAGUAUGUUGAUUGCUGAUGGAUGUACCAUUGUACCCCCAAAGUGUUCUUUUCAGCUUGUACCAUGAUGAACCUGCAUUUGCAUGGUCUUAAGUUCUCCAUGUUGAUUGCCCAAAACUAAUAAUACUUCCUACGUAGUAUUGCAAGAUACUGGAUAGUAACAUCCUUUUAUUUUUUAAUUCUAUCUGGUAUUGUCCAUCCACCCUACUAAACAAGCCAGUACUGUCAAUUGUGAAUUUGUGACUAAUCCUCACUUCUUUCUAUGUAGUACGGAUUGAUGCCCAAACCCACCUUCCAAAAAAAAAAAAAACACCUAUCGCUCUGUUAGAAAUAUCUUACCUUCAAUCCUUAUUCAGAGAUUAGCCGCGCAAUUCUUUGAAAGUGUGGGAACACUUUAUAAGGAGCGAGUCCUACAGAAAGAGGGCCUUUGGUUCAAUUUCACUCAGAACAAUGACCUUAUAUCUUUCUAUCCAAUUCUUAUAAUUUUCAUUUUGAACAUUGACUCGAUAGGAGUGGUCUUGAAUCCACCGGAAAUUCCCUUUGGCCCUACCAUACUCUAGCUUGGUAUUUUUCACCACCUAUUCAGGGUUGAGUCUUUGGAUUUGACACCGGACUUUGUCUCGUACAAAUGCUUUACGUACAAUCAUUCUGGAUAAUGCUUGCAUUUCUUUGCGGAACCAGUGUCAACCCUUGAAGCCUUUCGCAGCCUUUUUUUCUUAACGGCUUGGGCACGAGGCUUGGGUCGUUACAAUAUGUGAUAGAAAGCUGUGAGAGGAGUUGUGCUAAAAUAGUAUUAUCUGCUUUCGUCAUGUCGAUUCAAACUUGAAUUACGAAUUGCUUCUGUAAAACUGUAUUCUUUAUGUAGGAGAGGAAAUUUUUGCUUUUUAUUUUUCUUAUUUAUUUACUUAUCAAUUGUUCUUUUUUUUUUCAUUAGGGAUUCUCUGGCGAACAAAAGUAAAGAAACAGGAGACAAAAGUAAAGAAACAGGAGACUUAAGUGUACUGGAUAUGGAGGGUGCCAUAGGGUUGGAAGAGGAAACAGAAGAAACAAGCAAUGGGGAGAUUUUUUUUAAGUGCUUGUUAAAGGAAGGAGAGAAAAUGUCUGAUUUUGACGAUUUAGCUGAUUUUGUUGAGUUCAAACAGGGAAAAGAUUACUCAAAUUGGUUAAGUAAUCGUUACAGAUAUAGAAAGUGGAAAUGUGAGAAAAUGGCAGUGUUGAAGUGGAAGAAGAAGAAAAAAACUUGGAGAACCUUUAAAGGGAAGAAGAUUGGAGUCGGUUUAUUUUGACCACAUGUAUUCAUAUAGUGACUCAGACGGGUUCAAACAAAACACUGUUGAUGAUCCAACUUAUAGUGUUGUGUCAUUUUGGUUGGUCGAACUUUUUUGUGUUCCAAAUUAGUUGCUAAACUUUCAUUUUUCUUUCAGUCUAGAAACUCGUCUUCCUUCAUCUGCUGAAUUAAAGGAAAUGAUGGCAAGAAGCUGGUGCUCCGCAAGGUCAAGGUAUUCAUUCUUGCAUUAAAACUUUCGGCUUUGAUUCUGUUAUUUUUUCUUUUUUCAUUUUUUUAUUCUUGCAUUUCAUUGGGUAUAUUAUGCCCAUGAAUCGUGAUCAUUAUAAAUCUUCCCAAACAUCAGAACUGUAGAUUUCUGCGACAUACAUUGCAACAGAAUUUAGAUUUCAUCUUGCUUUUGGGGCACUGAUUUCAUCUCAUAUUAAGCUUCAUGUUAACAGCUUCAAGAUUGAGACCGAAGGAUCAAAGGGCGCCAUGGAAUUUUAGGCUUGCAAUAUGCAAUUUAAGAUAGUGAUUCUUCAAGAAUGCUGGACGUUCAUAAUACCAUUACUUUUGGGUGCCUAAAUGAAGUGAUACAGCCAGUAUAUUGUAAAUUUUGAGGAUUUGGCCAGGAAGUGAUUUGAUGUUCAUGAAUGUAUUUAUUUUUUUUUAUAUUCCUGUUCAGAAUUUAAAUCGAAUUAUAGUGCUUUAGACUGUAUUUCCAAUGGUAUAUUUUUUUCUUUCUUUCUGUUUAGGAAAGCAAAAAUUGAUUUAGUUUACAAAAAGAGAUUCUCAUUUUGAUUAAAUUGAAAAAGUUCUUUUCUUUAUGUGCAAACGACCAUCUUGAAAAUUGGAAUGCUAACAAAAGGAUUACUUUUGGCAAUAUCAAAAGUAUUUCACAUUCAAUUGGUACGUUUAAAAAAAAAAAAAAAAAAAAAAAACUAGAAGUCAUCGUUUACACUCACAAUGUUAUGAUUCUAACAGGUCUAAAUACAUCAAAUUCUGUAACUAACAGUACAAUCUCAAGACCUUCAGUGCUCCCAAUUUUGUGUGUAAAAUAAGCAGACUUGGCGAAUGGAGUGGCUAUUCGAGGCCUUAACUCGUAUUCAUCUAAAGCGGCCUUAUCACUGGAUGGAAAUGGUUCUGAAGAAAGGGUGAACAUACUUAUCGGNNNNNNNNNNNNNNNNNNNNNNNNNNNNNNNNNNNNNNNNNNNNNNNNNNNNNNNNNNNNNNNNNNNNNNNNNNNNNNNNNNNNNNNNNNNNNNNNNNNNNNNNNNNNNNNNNNNNNNNNNNNNNNNNNNNNNNNNNNNNNNNNNNNNNNNNNNNNNNNNNNNNNNNNNNNNNNNNNNNNNNNNNNNNNNNNNNNNNNNNNNNNNNNNNNNNNNNNNNNNNNNNNNNNNNNNNNNNNNNNNNNNNNNNNNNNNNNNNNNNNNNNNNNNNNNNNNNNNNNNNNNNNNNNNNNNNNNNNNNNNNNNNNNNNNNNNNNNNNNNNNNNNNNNNNNNNNNNNNNNNNNNNNNNNNNNNNNNNNNNNNNNNNNNNNNNNNNNNNNNNNNNNNNNNNNNNNNNNNNNNNNNNNNNNNNNNNNNNNNNNNNNNNNNNNNNNNNNNNNNNNNNNNNNNNNNNNNNNNNNNNNNNNNNNNNNNNNNNNNNNNNNNNNNNNNNNNNNNNNNNNNNNNNNNNNNNNNNNNNNNNNNNNNNNNNNNNNNNNNNNNNNNNNNNNNNNNNNNNNNNNNNNNNNNNNNNNNNNNNNNNNNNNNNNNNNNNNNNNNNNNNNNNNNNNNNNNNNNCACGUCACGUGGAUUCAGUCUAACUUUAUAAUGUUGUUGAAACAUAACUAUUUUAUGUUAAAAUGCUCUUUGUCCAUCACUUAUUAGAAGAAUUGGACGAUAAUCUGUGUCACAUUUAAAUUCUAUAUGCUAUGUGAUUGUUUUUUCUAAGCGAAUAUUGACGAGUGACAGACGAAAACUAAUUUUUGAAAGUUGAGUGAUGAUCGAGAAAUUUUUUGAAGUCUAAUGAUUACUUGGUAAUCUUUGAAAUUGAAAUUAUCAAUUAAUUCUUUAAUAACUUCUCAUUUUAUUUUUAAUCCCUCGCUCACAUUUUCACACUGAAAUGCAUGUCCACGCGCAUUCCCGCCAAGUCCUAUAGAGCAAACGCGUCUUCUCCGUGCGAGAGAGCGAGGGAGAGUGAACUUUGUUAGGGGCUAGAGGGAUUUUCAAUGGGUUCACCGAAGAAGAGGAGAGGCAAGAAUAAAAGGGCUGAAACCGAAAUCCCAGUUGAAGAUGAUAAUAAUUUUGAUAAUUAUCGCACUUUCGAGACUCUCCUUAGAGCAAUUCAAUCCCCUCAGGUUCAAAUUUUUCUCUUUGAUUUGCAAUCAUUCUUCUGAAUCAAACUCUAAUUUCUCUCUCUUUUUUUUUUUUUUUUGCCUAUAAUUUAAUUGUGUGUUUAUGUAUUACUUGAAUGAAUUGUUUGCCGACUUAGAAUUUCACGAGGGCACAUUUGGUAAUUAGUUCUGUAACUAUUAUUAUUAUUAUUAUUAUUAUUAUUAUUAUUAUUAUUAUUAUUAUUAUUAUUGUUAUUGUUAUUUUAUUUUUUUCCAAAAAAGUUGAGAGCUUUGAAAAAAUUGGGAAGGAAUUAUGUUUUUAUGACUGUAAAUUUACAUUUUUUGAUAGAAGAUAAAGGAAAUAAUGUUUCCAUUAUAGUAUUACUUUGCAUUUUGGAAGCGAACUGAGAUUCGUUGUUGCUUCCCUACUGGAGCUUGGGCUAUGUCGUAGUCCUUUUGUGGCGUUAAGUUUUCUUUUUUUCGUUUCUGUUGUUUUUCUUUGGGUUUGAAGCAGGAGUUCAUUAAGAUGACUUUAAUUAGAGUGCAACAAUUUGGUCUACGUUGAAAGCACCACGUUAAAUGCUAGGACAUUGACUUCUAAAAAAGAUAUCACAAGAUACAUAUAUAUAUCUUUCAGUCUUCCCCCUUGCUGAUUUGAUCUUUAGAUAUCGGUUAUGCAAAUUUUUUGCUAUAUUUUUGUGACGAUACUGGUGCAUUUAUUUUCUUAUUUGUUAUAUUAUAUAGAAGAGGACUCGAUAUUUCAGGGCAUAAAACCACCGGUCUUGAAGAGUUUGUAUCUUCUGCUUGUUCAUUUGUCUUCAAACCCACAAUGGAGUGUCAAAUGUGCAGUUGGUUUGAAUGAAUAUGACCUGGAAAUUUACAAUGAAGGGAUCAAAGUGGCAUUCGGAGAUUUAUGUAGACUCUCUGAUGUACUAUUUAAAGAGAUAACUGAGAGGUAUAAGCACUUCUUAGCUUUAUGUGAAAACCUUGCAAGUAAGAAUUUCGAAGAAGUUAGCUCCCACUCGGAUUUGUUGGACGCCGCUGAAAUAGUGAAUUUGCUGUUGAGAUGUUGCAUAGUACUGUUGAUUCUGCUUGCAGCCCAACAAAAUCUUUUUCUGGAGAAAGGUCUCAUUCUGUUAAGGAUACUCAGACAAUUGAGUUUACCAAAUUCACUUGUGACAAAGGGGAAAAGUGCAUUUAACUUUGAGAAGUCAGUUUCUCAUCAGUGUGCUCGCGGUGAAAGUGACUGCAAAACAUCCUAUGCUGAAGACUUUACUGCCUCCUUUCACAUUUUAGAACCAUCUAAUCUUUACCUCUUUUUCCAAUCAGCAAUGCUGGAGGUAAUUUGAUAGUCCACUUUUUUAUGUUAUUGACUUAUCUAUGACUUGCAAUAGGGGAGUAUCAGAAAUUUCACGCUCAUUGUUUUGCACUAAUUGAAACCUUUGGAAUUUUGCAUUCAUUGUUUCAAUACUCAUUUGGAGAAAUGUUAAACUUGAAUUCAAAGAGACAUCUCGUUGGUAACUAUCCUAAUAGAUCAGCAAUCUAGAUAAUUUGAAAAAAUGGUGAAGGCAUAUAAUUUUUGGUUUAAUUAGUUGUAAUAAAUUAUUUUUUGUAACAUUCUACAAAAAAUUAGUUUUUGUAACGUUCUAUGCUUGUGGCCUUUUCACUCACUCUCUCUCUCUCUCUGCUCCUCCCUCCCUCCUGAAGCAUCUAAUUAAUCAUCCUAAUUAAUCAGUAUGGAUAGGAAGAACUUUGAGGCUUUUAUUGGAUGUUGAAAAGAAAGAGAGAAAAACUUUUGUCUAUCUCCAGGAAGGAUUUUGUAUAUUCACAUUGGGUUCUCUGUGAUGAUUAUGUAGUUGUAUUUCUACCUUUCUGUUACAGGAAGCUGCAGUUUCUUUCACAGAAUUAUCUUCUCAAAGAUAGUUACACAAGCUUGAGAACUUCUUCUCUAUGCUUUCCUGUGUGAUUUCAAAUGUUUGGUAGCCUUGGCCCUUGUUUUCAUAUUUUUAAGCAUAUCACAUUUGUUUCUUGAUAUUUGUAAUUUUAGUUAUAUCGUUAAGAAUAUUUCUGGAGUUCUCUUAUAUAUAUAUUUCUGGAGUUCUCCCCAUGUAAUUUGUAAAUUUCAUUUGCACAGGUAUUUCUAGACGAGCUUUUGAUUCAUGAGCAAAUAAGAGGGUACUUUAAGCUGAUUGAUUCUGUUGCUUCUAUUGGAGAAAAGCUGCUUAUUUGUCAUUCUACCCAGGGGGGUAUUGGGUUUGUAAUGGAAGUGAUUUGUACUCAUUUUUUAAAAUCAUUUUCUGAUGAGCUUGCAUUUGAAGAUUUUCUCGUCCGAUUAUUUGUCAUACAUGCUAAGGAACUUAGAUAUUCGUACAGAGCUCCAGAAAUAAGUCUGGUUACUGCAGUAUCAUUACUUCUCGAUCCUAUUAUGGUUUCUGCUCCAAAAUAUAUGCAAGCACAUCUGAUCUCUUUGGUUUCUGAAGCUAAUUAUAUGAUAGACAUAGAGAGCCCGAAACCAGAUCGUAAACUUUUGAACUGCUUCCUGUCAGUUUUUGAAAAAUCAGUCAUUUUGUACAUGAAGCACAUGUCUAGUUUGGAAAUAGAUGGCUAUUCUCAAAGUGGUGUAGGUUGUGAUAAAUCAAAUAUAUCGGAUGAAAGACUUCAUCCGUUGUUUGAAUCCUAUAUAUCGCCUGAGACAAAGCAGAAGAUCGAUACUCUAAUAUCCAGAUUAGAUGAUUCAUUGCUUCCAAAAUUGCAUGGCAUUUUCAUUAAAAUGAAAUCUGAUCUUGUAAGUUCUGCCAUGAAAUUUGUGAAGGAGAUGCAAACUGUUUUUGAGGUACCAUGUCAAGAUGAUAUUUUAGCUAUCUUAAGUGGCUUAAUUCUCAGAGCUUCUGAUAGCUUCAAUGACACUGCAAUACAUUCAAUUGAGGGUACAAGUCUGCAGGAUGUAUAUCUUCUUGCUUCCUUAUUGAAGUUAAUGAGCACUUCAUUGAGGCAAGCCGUACGGUGUCUCAGACAAGGUGAUGAUUUAUGUUGCGUGAAAACCUUGAAAGAUUUUUCUUCAUGUAAGGAGUAUGAUUUCAUUAUGGGUAUAAUCACUACUUUCAGAAACUUUGGCAUUCAGUUACCCACCCAACAAGUUCUAUUCGAUGAGAUGUCGAGCCAUGUUACAAGGCAUACAGUUUCUAAAAUGAUGUUUUUGCAUUUUUCUGGCUUGAUGUCAUUGAGCUUUGUUAGUGGGCUUGAUUGUUUAGUUAAGGGCUGCUUGUUGACAAUUAUUGCCAUAUUGAAUUUAUUUGUUUUCGAAGAGGGUAAUUUAGAUGCAUUUCGGUCAGUGGUUGAUUCCAAUAAAGAAUCCUUUUCAUCUGGAUUGCUCCAUGUCAAAUUCCAGGAGGUAAUGUUCUCCUUUUUCCACCUCCACUCAAUUUUCAUAAAGGGUUCUCUGUUUCAGCAUGUAUAACUUUUUGUAAAUGAUGCAGACUGUAGUGGACCAAAACUCUAGCCUAGUGGUUGCAUCAAAAUUUCAGAAGAUAAGGACCCUGUAUUUGAGGUAAUUAAUGCUAUGCAUGCAGUAUGUUGAUUGCUGAUGGAUGUACCAUUGUACCCCCAAAGUGUUCUUUUCAGCUUGUACCAUGAUGAACCUGCAUUUGCAUGGUCUUAAGUUCUCCAUGUUGAUUGCCCAAAACUAAUAAUACUUCCUACGUAGUAUUGCAAGAUACUGGAUAGUAACAUCCUUUUAUUUUUUAAUUCUAUCUGGUAUUGUCCAUCCACCCUACUAAACAAGCCAGUACUGUCAAUUGUGAAUUUGUGACUAAUCCUCACUUCUUUCUAUGUAGUACGGAUUGAUGCCCAAACCCACCUUCCAAAAAAAAAAAAAACACCUAUCGCUCUGUUAGAAAUAUCUUACCUUCAAUCCUUAUUCAGAGAUUAGCCGCGCAAUUCUUUGAAAGUGUGGGAACACUUUAUAAGAAGCGAGUCCUACAGAAAGAGGGCCUUUGGUUCAAUUUCACUCAGAACAAUGGCCUUAUAUCUUUCUAUCCAAUUCUUAUAAUUUUCAUUUUGAACAUUGACUCGAUAGGAGUGGUCUUGAAUCCACCGGAAAUUCCCUUUGGCCCUACCAUACUCUAGCUUGGUAUUUUUCACCACCUAUUCAGGGUUGAGUCUUUGGAUUUGACACCGGACUUUGUCUCGUACAAAUGCUUUACGUACAAUCAUUCUGGAUAAUGCUUGCAUUUCUUUGCGGAACCAGUGUCAACCCUUGAAGCCUUUCGCAGCCUUUUUUUCUUAACGGCUUGGGCACGAGGCUUGGGUCGUUACAAUAUGUGAUAGAAAGCUGUGAGAGGAGUUGUGCUAAAAUAGUAUUAUCUGCUUUCGUCAUGUCGAUUCAAACUUGAAUUACGAAUUGCUUCUGUAAAACUGUAUUCUUUAUGUAGGAGAGGAAAUUUUUGCUUUUUAUUUUUCUUAUUUAUUUACUUAUCAAUUGUUCUUUUUUUUUUCAUUAGGGAUUCUCUGGCGAACAAAAGUAAAGAAACAGGAGACAAAAGUAAAGAAACAGGAGACUUAAGUGUACUGGAUAUGGAGGGUGCCAUAGGGUUGGAAGAGGAAACAGAAGAAACAAGCAAUGGGGAGAUUUUUUUUAAGUGCUUGUUAAAGGAAGGAGAGAAAAUGUCUGAUUUUGACGAUUUAGCUGAUUUUGUUGAGUUCAAACAGGGAAAAGAUUACUCAAAUUGGUUAAGUAAUCGUUACAGAUAUAGAAAGUGGAAAUGUGAGAAAAUGGCAGUGUUGAAGUGGAAGAAGAAGAAAAAAACUUGGAGAACCUUUAAAGGGAAGAAGAUUGGAGUCGGUUUAUUUUGACCACAUGUAUUCAUAUAGUGACUCAGACGGGUUCAAACAAAACACUGUUGAUGAUCCAACUUAUAGUGUUGUGUCAUUUUGGUUGGUCGAACUUUUUUGUGUUCCAAAUUAGUUGCUAAACUUUCAUUUUUCUUUCAGUCUAGAAACUCGUCUUCCUUCAUCUGCUGAAUUAAAGGAAAUGAUGGCAAGAAGCUGGUGCUCCGCAAGGUCAUGGUAUUCAUUCUUGCAUUAAAACUUUUGGCUUUGAUUCUGUUAUUUUUUCUUUUUUCAUUUUUUUAUUCUUGCAUUUCAUUGGGUAUAUUAUGCCCAUGAAUCGUGAUCAUUAUAAAUCUUCCCAAACAUCAGAACUGUAGAUUUCUGCGACAUACAUUGCAACAGAAUUUAGAUUUCAUCUUGCUUUUGGGGCACUGAUUUCAUCUCAUAUUAAGCUUCAUGUUAACAGCUUCAAGAUUGAGACCGAAGGAUCAAAGGGCGCCAUGGAAUUUUAGGCUUGCAAUAUGCAAUUUAAGAUAGUGAUUCUUCAAGAUUGCUGGACGUUCAUAAUACCAUUACUUUUGGGUGCCUAAAUGAAGUGAUACAGCCAGUAUAUUGUAAAUUUUGAGGAUUUGGCCAGGAAGUGAUUUGAUGUUCAUGAAUGUAUUUAUUUUUUUUUAUAUUCCUGUUCAGAAUUUAAAUCGAAUUAUAGUGCUUUAGACUGUAUUUCCAAUGGUAUAUUUUUUUCUUUCUUUCUGUUUAGGAAAGCAAAAAUUGAUUUAGUUUACAAAAAGAGAUUCUCAUUUUGAUUAAAUUGAAAAAGUUCUUUUCUUUAUGUGCAAACGACCAUCUUGAAAAUUGGAAUGCUAACAAAAGGAUUACUUUUGGCAAUAUCAAAAGUAUUUCACAUUCAAUUGGUACGUUUAAAAAAAAAAAAAAAAAAAAAACUAGAAGUCAUCGUUUACACUCACAAUGUUAUGAUUCUAACAGGUCUAAAUACAUCAAAUUCUGUAACUAACAGUACAAUCUCAAGACCUUCAGUGCUCCCAAUUUUGUGUGUAAAAUAAGCAGACUUGGCGAAUGGAGUGGCUAUUCGAGGCCUUAACUCGUAUUCAUCUAAAGCGGCCUUAUCACUGGAUGGAAAUGGUUCUGAAGAAAGGGUGAACAUACUUAUCGGNNNNNNNNNNNNNNNNNNNNNNNNNNNNNNNNNNNNNNNNNNNNNNNNNNNNNNNNNNNNNNNNNNNGGGGAAUCCGAAUAAGCAAGGUUUAACCUUUCUUACCACUGUUGAGAAUUCUACGCAAAUCGAAAGCUUCACCACCUCCAUUCAUGGACCUUCUUUCCAAAAAGCAAGCAGUAAGCUGUCUUAGUAACCUCUCGAGACGUGAUUGCAAGCAACAUUUUGCAUCUUUCACAUUAGGAUUUGUUGCCAAGAUCAUUGCAUUAACUGCAUCAGCCACAAGCUCCCGUUGAGACUCUCUAAGAAGGUAUCCAACAGUGGACUUGUCAGGCUCUUCGUAUGCCAGCAAAGAAGAACAAUCCUUGCGAGAGAAGUAGGAGAUGUUAGAACCCAAAAAAAAAAAAAAAAAACACCAGCACACAAAAAACUAGAAAGGCGAUCGAAAUCCAAUAUAUAUCGGUAAGAGGACCACAUUAAGCACCGGGAGGAGAGUAAAAGGAACCUAAUAUCUAGCAAAAUCAUAUUCUGCCUUGUACCCAGUAUAUGCUUAUGGAGUCAUGUAGAGCAAGCUAAGACGGAAUUAGCUCGAGCCUUUUCUCUAGAUCGAUUGUUCAUAAAACACUGCCAAACUUUUUGUAGAGUAGUAUGAUGACUGAAUUAUAGUCAACAAACAGAUCUUCCAUAUUAUACCUUGACUAGGUCACCAAACUCUGAACUCCUCUUGAACUUUCCAAACUCAGUCCUUGCAUACCGCACAGCUUCCUCCAGCUUCCCAACCUGCAGUAAGAAGUUAAUCAGAGUGGCUGAAGAAAAUGCCAGCUUUAUGGGGAAAAAUUAGCCAAAGGCAAGUAAUUGACCAAAAAUAUAGGAACUGUGUGUUGUAUUCCGCAUACGGCAUACAUAAUUGGUGAAUAUAUGACCCAAUUCAAAAUUUCUGACAAACAGAUUUGAAACAAUAAUGGAACGUGGAACAAAUACAAUACUUGCAUAAGGCACGAAAAGAUAUACAUCUCAAAUGUCAUAGAGAACUGUCACUAUUUAUAGACCUCUGCCAACCUACCUGGACUAACUUAUUAAAAUACAUCUCUUCCUCCAUCGUGUUCAGUAUUACUUCAGAUUUCCAAAUACUUGUGGUUUAGAAUUAAAUUUCAAACAAUUCAAUAGAAAAAGCAUCCUAUAUAGUUAAAGGAAAAUAUUUCACUAAUGUUUGAAUCAGGAAAAUUAGUCAAGUCCAACUCCACGUUCAACAGGAAUGACAAGUUAUGACUUUACUCUGAAGUGUUAAAGCUUCGUGACAGAGGACCAAGUACUUGCGCUUUUAACAUCAUAAAGUUGAUUACAUGUGCAAACGGUACUUCAUACGGCCUCUUAUCUGUCAUCCACCUUUCUCAAACUGGUUCAUAUUUAACUUUUCUAACAGCAAGAAAUAAAAAAUUGACGCUUAUGGUAUUUUCAUGAUUCAAUAAGCUACACAAGGAAAAAAGACAUUUACCCUGAGAAGCUCAAUAAAUUUUUGAGAAUGUAGCAGAAAGCAGAUAGAAGACUUGUCAUCCUGCACAUGGCAAACAAAUCAUCAUGUCAAAUAUAAUAUUAUCAGCUCAACACCAAUCUAUUUAGAAAGAUUCAAGAUGUAAGUGGGCAUGGAGUUCAUCAAUAUUCCACAUCGUGAAUAUCAGUUACAACUAGAAAAAAGGUCAUCUUUAUGAGUAAAUCCAUUGAUAUACUUGUCACCAUUAAAAGCCUACGGACGCAUUCAGGCAAAUGAUUUUCGGCAAAUCUUUGAGAUAUCACAGGACACACAGAAUUAAUUAGGUAGAGGCAAUACACAAUUUGAUGAGUGCAUUCUAUAAAAUGUAUACAUGAAAACAGUCAAGAUUAUCCUAAAUUAAAACACAGAGAGAGCGACAGGGGGGGAGAGCGCUUAUUGUCAUCUACCUGCACAAUUUGAGGAUACCAUUCACCGAGUUUAGCAAAUGUUUCAUCAAUCUCGCCACGACUUAUUAGCUGCAUGAACAAAUAAAGGCAAAAAGGUAUUUAAUAUUUUCAGUAGAUAUUAUUAGUUUAAUUAAGUUGCUAUCAUAAUAGCAAGGACCAAUAAGCUGGAAUAGAUAACGCAGAUUGUGUUGAGUCAGGAGCCCAAAUGUGUCGGUGAGUAAAUAUGGAAAAGGAAAGUUUUUAAGAGUAAAAGAUUAAGAGAACUAAAAAUCAAGCUUAUCAAGCAUCAAGUACUUGCAUUGAUAUAAUUGAUGGUCAAAAUGAAUUCAUGGGGGGUGAAUUCGAUGCAACCAAAAAAAGUGUGCCGUUACUCAAAAUAUUGCUGCAAAGAACGCUGACACCUAAUUUAGAUAUAGAUGAAAAUUAUAUCCAUCCACCAAAUAUAAGGCUUGAUGAUGCCUACUUCACUCUGUAAAUUAUCCAAAUCAUUGUGCCAUUGAUACCCUUGAAAGUGGACACAUACAAGUCGAUCACAUGAUACACCCUAAACAUAAGGUGAUUAUAAAUCAUUACGGAAGGUUAAUUAUGGGCGUGAUUAUAGGAGCUAAAUUAUGGUAGUAAAUAAGGUUUCUUUUAUACCUAUACAAGUGUAACCUCGUAAUAUUUCAUUUCAUAGAAUAGAAUUAUGUUUUCCCACAGGUAUACAAAUAAGAGAGACGAAAAAAGGAAUGACUGGUUAGAAAUUUCAAAUUUAAUUGAAAUAGGUUGUCUCUGUUGGCAGGAUGAGAAAAACCAUAUAACUAAUAACUCAAGAAAACCCAGCUCAGUUAUGAAGAAAAAUAAUAAGAUUCAAUUCACACCUGACGAAGAGUCCUCCUCUGAUUCAUUGCAUACAUGUCUUCCUCGUUGAACCCAUUUUCUGGAAGGGAGGAAAUUGGAGAAGCAGUACUUUUACUAGCCAUAUCAAACAAUUCAAGCGUUCCUUCAUACCCAUAAUGCUGUAAAUAGGAACGAACUAAUCUGUAAAGUGCAAUGGAGAUUAUCAACAAAAACAUCAGUUGUACUUCUAUAUUUCUGUAAUCAAAUAAUGUCCAAUUAUAUAAUAUAUAAAUGUUAAUUUCUCAUAAUAAGAUGUUUGAGCAUAUAUUUAUAAAAUACCACUACAAUGAUCAUCAGAACCGAAGUGCAUGUACGAGGAAAGACUCAUAAACUUAGAAACUCAUUUCUAUAAUGUGAAUAUUAUCUAUGCUGCAUCCAAUAAGAAAGGCAUUUAUCUGUUUUCCAAGAAAAAAACCAGUAGCUUAUUUUAUACAAAAAUAAACUCAGCUGCAUUUUUCCUAGAAGAUCAGAUAAACUAAAGCCCCUAAUGAAUGUUCUGGUUCUAGAAUAUUAAUUGUGUGUUUUGAACAUUUCUCUAAUGACGCAAUUUGCACAAAAAGCAUAAAUGUCCAUUUAUCAGUAAAAAUAAAUCAUGGAUUUACAUUAUGAUUAGAUCCACAAAAAAUACCAAAAUAUUUUGAAGCAGUUACUUUUUUAAUCAUAAACCAUGUUUAUUUUAUUGUUUCGAAGUCCAUCAGAAGGAAAGGUGAGUAAAAAAUCAUGAACCCAUUUCCUACAAUUAAAAACAUGAUAGCGCCUGGUAGUCACGAAUUAUUGAGAUACUGCAAACAGUUCAGAAUUGCAAAGAUAACUUAGAUACAAGAGAAUAAAGGGAGUACUAAACAAUUUUUUGUGAUGUGUAGAAAAAAAAUUCUGUUUCUUACAUUAUUUAGAGCAAUAAGACAUAGUGUCAUCUAAACUAUUUUCCUUGUAGCCUACAUUGCCAAAUAAAUAGGGAAGAUAUGAAAAUUAGCAAACUCUCACAGUGAAGUUAGAGGCCAUUAGCACUUAGGCUGCUGUUUGACAAAGGUAGAAUAUUAUUAAUAGAAGGGACAGUAAGGACUACUCCAAGCCUCCAAUAUAAUGCCAAGAACUUGUACAUUAAAUGGAAGCCUCAGCUCAUAAUAUAUCAGGCACCUUGAGCCCCCAAAUAUCAGAAUUUUCUUGUUAUGAAGCUUAAAAAUAGCAAUGUGUACUUACCCAUGACUAGCAGACAGUGUCAAUGAAAUACUGUCAAUUUCAUAUUGCUGUUUUGCUCUUUGCUCUGCCUCAUAUGCCUGAAUUAUAAUAGACAUCAGAUACAAAAGUUUGAAUAUCAUAAUUUAUCAGUUUGUUAUCAAGUUCCUCAAUAUUCCAAUUUUGUUUAACGUAGAUUACUGAAAGGCAAGUUGAUGCAUGCAAAAGAGCAACAAAAUUAUAUUUACAAACCAAAAUUCCUAAAACAGAAAUAAAUAUGUAGCAAUUUAUUUUGGUGUAUUCAGUUCAAAUGACAAAAUAUUCACAUCAGCUUAAAGUAUGUAUUCUAAGUGUUAUCAAUCUACCAGUUAUAUUAAGCCCCUGUUUGAGCUCCAUUCUUUAAAAUUCAUCGUCUCCAAACUCAUUCUCAAUUGCACAUUCUCCCAAUAAAAUAAUUUAGCACGUAAACCCACAAACUUUUUCCAUUUUUUAAUCACACAUUCUCCCAAAAAUAAAUAAAUAAAUAAAGUUUUAAAAAAUCUAUUCUCAAAAUAUGGAGCUCAAACAUUGGCUAAGUAAAACUAUAAAAGACAUAGAAAAAUAUGAGGGUGUGUUAAUGCAACCCAUUUAGUCAUUUACAAUCGAAAUUAAGAAAAGAAUAAAAAAGGAACAAAAUUCCAUAUUAAGUGAAAAUCUUAAAAAUGAAAUUUUUAUUAUGCCAAAUCUUCACUAGUUAUUUGCUUAGUAUUCCCAGUUCCAAGGAACUGAUUGUUCAAAAAUAAGUAUAUCUAGCAUAUGAGCUUAAUAAAGGCAAGAAUUAACAAAAAGUUGCAACAAACUUGUUGUUCAAUGGAGAAAGGAAUUGGAGACAAAGAAGGAAAAUCUUACCUUAAUAUCAAAAACGAAUGGAUCCUUUCCAAAGUUGACAGUAACCCUGCCACGUGUCAAUGCACAAUUUAAGAAGUUAGAUACAUCUUAAUUAUUAAAUUUUGGGAAAGUAUUAGCACUGAAAGGGAAUGGAGAAGUAGCAUGUUCAUGCAGCAUGCACUUGUUAGUGCAUGAAGCAUAGCAUAUGGAAAUCACAAAGUAGAGCCUCAAAGACGUUAAAAAUUACCCACAACUUUUUUCUGGUUGUUGCACAUUAAGGAAAAAUCCAACAAUAUUUACAGAAAGAACUCAGUAAACUGAGAAGAAGGCUUCAAUAACAAUUUCUUCAGGACAUCUACUAUGGAAGCCAUUUACAUACUUAGGAGAAUGAUAAACAAGUCAGAGGAAAGAAAAAGAUACAUGGGGAUUGUGAUUAUCUAGUUAAAAUAAAUAAAUAAAUAACGCUAAGAAGGUGUCCAUAUAAGUGCUGUGCUUGGUGCUAAUUAGUCAAGUAGGAAAUGAAAUUUUAUUAGAUAUAUGAAUAUUAUUAAAAGACGCGUACUCACAACUCUGAGAUGUGGUGAUAAUAGUAGAGGUUGCAUCAACAUUGUCUCAAGUCAUAAUUUUUACUUCAGUCAAAACAGGCUGAGAAGAUAUUUCCAAGAUGAGAUUCUUUUGAAUAGAUGGACUAGGGGGGUGUUAAAACAUUAGAACUUCGGAAGAGUAUUGUUGAAAUCUGGGGUUUUAGAUUAAAAAUAACUAAAAUGGAGUACAUCAAAUGCCCUUUCGGUAAUAAUAGGAACAUGUACAGUGGUGUAGUCAAGACAACUUACAAAAGAUCAUCUUCUAAUAUGAUAGAUAUUUAAGUUCAACUAUUGACAAGGGAGAAAGAUUUGAAGAGGAUGAAAUGCAUAGAAUCAGAGAAGGCCGACUGAAAGCUUGAAUAAAGUGGAGCACUGGUGCAGGGAUAAUCCCAAAUGUAAUAAGCAGGUUCAGAAGGAGCAGUAUUGCACGGCACGAAUAGGAAAUCUCAAUAAAGUUAAAAUGCAAGUUCUACGAACCAGCUGUGUCAGAAUAUGAAUGUUUGGUUGUCAAAGGGAAAAAAGGUCAAUAAGAUGAAAGUAGUCAGAAUGGGAAUGUUAAGUUGAAUUUAUGAUUAUACUAGAAUGCAAAAGAUAAAUCUCAUACACGAGUGUGGGAUCCUAAUAGACUACGUAACAAGGAGAGGUAGACAAGGAUUAACAUGACGUGGUGUCAAGGACCGCAGCUUUACUUAGCCCCUUGACACUAUCGCAGCCGCAGUUUGCCCAACUUCGGCCGCACAUUGUAAAUAUUACUUUAAGUUUGAGUUGUAAUUUUCGUUUCAUUGUAAUAGUUAUUUUAAUUGUAAAAUAGCUCUGAUAUUGGUAAAAGAUUAGUAUGAUUCCUCGUCUUUUAAACGUCUACUCCCGUCACUUGGGUUUUUGUUCAGAAUGCUAUUAUAGGGGGUAUUAGUCAUUCAAAAAUCUUUCAAGCUCACUGGUGUCCGUCCCCUGCACCAGCAUUUGUAAUUUUCUGCUUUCAUCAAUUGUAAUGUUCAGUUUUCAGCAAUCAAUGUUCAAUUUACUUUCAAUGUAUUCAAAUUCUCAAUUGCAAGCUUUCUACAAAAUUGCAAUCAAAUUUUCUAUUGUCCCGACGCGACCGAGAAAAGGCGAAAGGUAGUCUAGCGGAGCAGACUACUGCCGCACGGUGUCCCUUUCUAUGCCAAGAAGAAAGGCACCCCGUGAAAGUUGGUAUUAGAGCUGCGGCUUAAGACCCUCGAUAAGAAAGCUAUGGAUCCAAUUACAUCACACACCACUGAAGUGGUAGAGCCUCAAAAGAAGGGUACUACGAAACAGCGCGUGGAUGCGCUUGAUGAGACAGCUACUAGGUUGUGCUAUGCUGUGGAAGGUCUCGAGAAAAAAGUCGAGAUGGCCGAAUCUGAGAUUCAUGGAUUACACAUCCAAUUGGAUGAAAGCCAAAGAGCUUGCGCAGCAAUGACGGAAGCUGCUGCAAUCAUUCCUGAUCUGCAGGAUGAAAUGGAAGCGUUGAGAGCUCAAUUGCGAGUACUCCAACGUGCGGUGGGCAAUGGGCAAGCUCCCGCACACGAGUAUGCUCCUAGACUCAGAAUUCCUGAACCGUGUACCUAUGGAGGGGCACGUGAUGCAAAAGAAGUCGAAAACUUCUUGUUUGAUAUGGAACAGUACUUUCUAGCAGCUUCGAUCGAAGAUGAAGCUAGAAAGGUAACCACAGCUACCAUGUAUUUGGGUGGAGAUGCAAAAUUAUGGUGGCGAACCAAAUAUGCAGACAUUCAGGCCCACAGGAUUCGAAUUGAUUCUUGGGAUCUCCUCAAGGAAGCGAUCAGAUCGCAGUUUUUUCCGGAAAAUGUUGAGUAUCAGGCUCGACGGGCUCUUCGAGACCUGAAACACACGAACUCUAUCAGGGAGUAUGAGAAAUCCUUCUCAGGGCAUAUGCUGAAUAUUCGAGAUAUGUCAGAAAAUNNNNNNNNNNNNNNNNNNNNNNNNNNNNNNNNNNNNNNNNNNNNNNNNNNNNNNNNNNNNNNNNNNNNNNNNNNNNNNNNNNNNNNNNNNNNNNNNNNNNNNNNNNNNNNNNNNNNNNNNNNNNNNNNNNNNNNNNNNNNNNNNNNNNNNNNNNNNNNNNNNNNNNNNNNNNNNNNNNNNNNNNNNNNNNNNNNNNNNNNNNNNNNNNNNNNNNNNNNNNNNNNNNNNNNNNNNNNNNNNNNNNNNNNNNNNNNNNNNNNNNNNNNNNNNNNNNNNNNNNNNNNNNNNNNNNNNNNNNNNNNNNNNNNNNNNNNNNNNNNNNNNNNNNNNNNNNNNNNNNNNNNNNNNNNNNNNNNNNNNNNNNNNNNNNNNNNNNNNNNNNNNNNNNNNNNNNNNNNNNNNNNNNNNNNNNNNNNNNNNNNNNNNNNNNNNNNNNNNNNNNNNNNNNNNNNNNNNNNNNNNNNNNNNNNNNNNNNNNNNNNNNNNNNNNNNNNNNNNNNNNNNNNNNNNNNNNNNNNNNNNNNNNNNNNNNNNNNNNNNNNNNNNNNNNNNNNNNNNNNNNNNNNNNNNNNNNNNNNNNNNNNNNNNNNNNNNNNNNNNNNNNNNNNNNNNNNNNNNNNNNNNNNNNNNNNNNNNNNNNNNNNNNNNNNNNNNNNNNNNNNNNNNNNNNNNNNNNNNNNNNNNNNNNNNNNNNNNNNNNNNNNNNNNNNNNNGUGAAAGUUGGUAUCAGAGCUGCGGCUCACGACCCUCGAUAAGAAAGUUAUGGAUCCAAUUACAUCACACACCAUUGAAGUGGUAGAGCCUCAAAAGAAGAGUACUACGAAACAGCGUGUGGAUACGCUUGAUGAGACAACUACUAGGUUGUGCUAUGCUGUGGAAGGUCUCGAGGAAAAAGUCGAGAUGGCCGAAUCUGAGAUUCGUGGAUUACACAUCCAAUUGGAUGAAAGCCAAAGAGCUUGCGCAGUAAUGACGGAAGCUGCUGCAAUCAUUCCUGAUCUGCAGGAUGAAAUGGAAGCGUUGAGAGCUCAAUUGCGAGUACUCCAACGUGCGGUGGGCAAUGGGCAAGCUUCCGUACCCGAGUAUGCUCCUAGGCUCAGAAUUCCUGAAUCGUGUACCUACGGAGGGGCAUGUGAUGCGAAAGAAGUCGAAAUCUUCUUGUUUGAUAUGGAACAGUACUUUCUAGCAGCUUCGAUCGAAGACGAAGCUAGAAAGGUAACCACAGCUAUCAUGUAUCUGGGUGGAGAUGCAAAUGGCGAACUAAAUAUUCUGACAUUCAAGCCCACAAGAUUCGAAUUGAUUCUUGGGAUCUCCUCAAGGAAGCGAUCAGAUCGCAGUUUUUUCCGGAAAAUGUUGAGUAUCAGGCUCGACGGGCUCUUCGAGACCUGAAACACACGAACUCUAUCAGGGAGUAUGUGAAAUCCUUCUCAGGGCAUAUGCUGAAUAUUCGAGAUAUGUCAGAAAAGGACAAGCUCUUCACCUUUAUGGAAGGGUUGAAAUCGUGGACACGCNNNNNNNNNNNNNNNNNNNNNNNNNNNNNNNNNNNNNNNNNNNNNNNNNNNNNNNNNNNNNNNNNNNNNNNNNNNNNNNNNNNNNNNNNNNNNNNNNNNNNNNNNNNNNNNNNNNNNNNNNNNNNNNNNNNNNNNNNNNNNNNNNNNNNNNNNNNNNNNNNNNNNNNNNNNNNNNNNNNNNNNNNNNNNNNNNNNNNNNNNNNNNNNNNNNNNNNNNNNNNNNNNNNNNNNNNNNNNNNNNNNNNNNNNNNNNNNNNNNNNNNNNNNNNNNNNNNNNNNNNNNNNNNNNNNNNNNNNNNNNNNNNNNNNNNNNNNNNNNNNNNNNNNNNNNNNNNNNNNNNNNNNNNNNNNNNNNNNNNNNNNNNNNNNNNNNNNNNNNNNNNNNNNNNNNNNNNNNNNNNNNNNNNNNNNNNNNNNNNNNNNNNNNNNNNNNNNNNNNNNNNNNNNNNNNNNNNNNNNNNNNNNNNNNNNNNNNNNNNNNNNNNNNNNNNNNNNNNNNNNNNNNNNNNNNNNNNNNNNNNNNNNNNNNNNNNNNNNNNNNNNNNNNNNNNNNNNNNNNNNNNNNNNNNNNNNNNNNNNNNNNNNNNNNNNNNNNNNNNNNNNNNNNNNNNNNNNNNNNNNNNNNNNNNNNNNNNNNNNNNNNNNNNNNNNNNNNNNNNNNNNNNNNNNNNNNNNNNNNNNNNNNNNNNNNNNNNNNNNNNNNNNNNNNNNNNNNNNNNNNNNNNNNNNNNNNNNNNNNNNNNNNNNNNNNNNNNNNNNNNNNNNNNNNNNNNNNNNNNNNNNNNNNNNNNNNNNNNNNNNNNNNNNNNNNNNNNNNNNNNNNNNNNNNNNNNNNNNNNNNNNNNNNNNNNNNNNNNNNNNNNNNNNNNNNNNNNNNNNNNNNNNNNNNNNNNNNNNNNNNNNNNNNNNNNNNNNNNNNNNNNNNNNNNNNNNNNNNNNNNNNNNNNNNNNNNNNNNNNNNNNNNNNNNNNNNNNNNNNNNNNNNNNNNNNNNNNNNNNNNNNNNNNNNNNNNNNNNNNNNNNNNNNNNNNNNNNNNAACCAAAACUGUCGAGCAAACAGGCUCGUUGGCAGGAAUUCCUUUCGGAGUUCAAUUUUAUGUUAGAGUAUCGUCCCGGCUCUAGUAAUCAUGUUGCCGAUGCUCUUAGUCGACGGGCUGAUUUAGCUACCAUCUGCUCUGUAGCUGCUCUUGCAGGGAGCGCAGUCUCCACGAACACUAGAGACCAAAUUCGGGCACUUAUGGAGAAGGACCCGGCUACCCAAUAUUUGGUCGACCUUAUCAAGCAGGGUAAAACUCGACAGUUUUGGCUAGAUGGAAAACUAGUGAAGACAAAGGGAAACCGCCUAUAUGUUCCUAAGGAUGGAGAUCUGAGGAAAUCACUAAUCACGGAAUGCCAUGACACAAUUUGGGCGGGGCAUCCUGGAGAGGAACGCACUUGUGCACUACUACAACGUGCAUACUACUGGCCUCAAAUGCGGGACGACAUUGCAACAUAUGUAAAAACUUGUCUU